RNAcentral lists this long non-coding RNA (76857 nucleotides) under Brassica napus (rape). RNAcentral's name for it is "long non-coding RNA (BNAP_LNC005350)". Lineage: Eukaryota; Viridiplantae; Streptophyta; Magnoliopsida; Brassicales; Brassicaceae. The record is from RNAcentral.
AGUGAUUAAUGUCGUAGUUUUCAAAGAUUUUUAUUUUCUCAUAAUGCGUACUUUUUUUACAAGGUCUUUUUGGUAUGAACUGUCAAGAAUCAUGGUCUCACUUUUUUUUUUGGUUCACAAGCUCAGAUAUUUUAACUGUAAAUUUCUGUCCUUAUACUCUCUUGUUGCCGUCCUCCACCGUCCAAUACCAACUUUGAUGCCAACUCUAUCAUCUUGACAGUGUAGUUAACGACUCUACUGUGUGAAUGUGUCCUCUCGCAACAUUGUAUUCCUCUAUAUACUCUUAGCGUGUUCAGAUGUUACAUAAUUGAUUUCAUCAAGUUCCUUUACCUAGAGUUUAACAACAAUAAAAAUUACUUUACGCAAAACGUCUAAAUCAAAAUAUACGGAAGUGGAGUUAAAGACAAACCUAAUCAUGUUUGUUGUAUAAUAUCAUAGUUGCGUGAUUUGGGGGAAGUCUCUCACACAGUAUUUCAACAUUCUAAAAAGAAAAAUAAUGGAAAACAAAAGGAAGUGAUCACUUCCACUUCCUCUCCUCCUUCUGGUUUCUCCGCCUUCUCUCCUCCUCUUUCCAGUCUGAGUUUUUCCGAUGACCGGCGCGUGGCGGUUCCGUUAACGCCAACGCCGGUCCCAAUCUGCUUGGUUUUCUUUCUAGUUUAACAUAUGUUCGGCGUGUGGUGACUGGAGCCUAUUUUGAUGGAGAUCUUGGUUGGAAAGCUUAGCUUUCAUUCUCAGAUCUGUAUAAGGUUUUUGGAGGUGAAAGUACCGGAUCGUUAGAUCAACGGUUUGUUUCUCCUUUUCUUUCUCUAUCUUGUUACUGGUGGGGUUCUGGGUGGGCUUGUUCUCUCUUUUGGAAACUGCUGUGGAUUCUCUCCGGUUCUUUAGUGAGCCUUUCAUGUGGGAUUGGUGUCUCUGAGUUCGGUUAGGCUUGGUUCCUUGUUUCUCUGUCAGAUCUAGGUGUGAUCUGGUUUCUUCAUAAGCUCCAUUACUAGGCAUUCAACGGCCGUGCUUGCCCUGCCGUUUCCGAGAGUGUGUGGUGAAUCUGCUGAUUCCAACUUGUCAGAAGGUGGAGUUUGGUUAUUUGGUUCCUGAGGUAUUCCCUCGUUGUUCAAGGAGGAAGUGGCUUAUUGGUGGUUUGGCCGUGGGCAAUCUCUAUAAGUAUCUUUCAUGGAGUUCUGAAUCUGUUGUUUCAUGUCCGUUUGGAGCCCUCACCAGUGACGUUUGGUUUCAGUCGCGUUUAUCUUUUAUUGCUGUUAUGUGUAUGUGUUUAUUGGCAUCCCUUGUAUGGGCUUAGUUUCCAGGGUCAGUUCUGUGUGACCGCUGGCUUGUGUACCGAACGUAAUCCUCUUCGGUUUAAGAAUGCUAUCUUGUAAUCCUUUAUGUUUCUUCUUAAUAAAAUCAGGCGACAAAAAAAAAAAAAAAAGUGAUCACUUCCACAGUAUCUAUGAGAGGUGAAAACCAUUUCUUUGUUGAGAGAUUGCAAAUAUAUUAUAAGAAACUCUCUUCCACCAUUUGCGAUGUAAUAGUAAGUGUUAAUUUAUAUUUUUAUUUAAGUUUAUUUAUUUUGCAAACUGAUAUUGUUUACUCUAUACUGAGAAACUAUGGGAAAAGACGGAGGAAAGAACAUAAAUCCACACAAAAAUUGGAGAAAUCUUCUCUCUCUCUCCUCAAAACUUUCAACUUCUCUCUAACACUUUGACUGCGUUUUCUGGCUCCGGCGGCCGUCUUUGACGUGCGUGGCCGUCGGGAGCUCUCUCUCCUCCUCUUCCUCUUUGAUUUUUUGCUUCGUUUUGGUUCCGUUGCCUUUGGGUCCGCGGUCUGGUAUAACAGUCUCCGGGGUUGAGCAUCUAGGUUUCCGUUACAUGAAUAAAGCUCGACCUUGCCUUGCGGUGCUCUUGGCCUCGGGUUUUUGCAGCCUGAUCGUGCUGUCUUAGCUUUGAAGGCUUCCCGCGAGCUGUUCUUGGCUUAACCUGAUCAUAAAGAGCGGAUCAUCGGGGAAGCCAAUAUUACCAGGUUAUGUUUCUCGGUUUAACUGAGGUUGCUCUUUUUGCGGCAAGCGGGAAGUUCCAUCUCUGUCUAGGCUGGUGGUUAGCUGCUCGGCUUGUUGUGUCAGUCCCAAUAUAGGUUAGGAAGAGCCUCUUUUUGGGGCAUCUCCAAUGAGACUCUAUUUUUUCCUCUAUAAUUUACACUAAAAUAGAGUAACUCUAUAAUAUAGUUUGAGUUUGCUCCAAUGGUACUCUAUUUUAGAGUAGAAAAUAGAGUGAUGAACACAAAAAAACUAAAAUACUCUAUAUUUGGAGUAAGCCUAUUUUUCACUCAAUUAUAGAGUAAGAAAUAGAGUACCAUUGGAACAUUUUUUACUCUAAACUCUAUUUUAGAGUGAAAAAUAGAGUGGGGUUGGAAAUGCUCUAAUGAUGUUACCCUAUAAUAGAGUUAAUCUAUAGAGUUAAUCUAUUAUAGAGUGAUCAAAAUGUCACUUUUCCACUCUAUAUAUAGAGUAAAAUAUGACAUUGCUCUAUAUUUUACUCUAUAAUAAGGUAACACUAUUCGAGCAAAAGUUACACUAUAAUAAAGUUACUCUAUUUUAGUGUAAAUUAUAGAAGAAAUUUCAAUAAUUUGUUUUGAGUAGGAAAAUAACUGGACCGAAUUAUUUUAUUUAAAGUAAUUUGGGUUCCAUUUAAUUUGAUUUUAGUUUCAGUUUAAAUCUUGAUUAACUUAUUUUGACCAAUUAUAGUGCUAUAUAUUUCAUAUAUAUUUGUUGUUGUAUAUCACUAUGCAUUUGUUAUGUAUUGUUGUAGAACCUACAUGGUAUGUAUCAAACAUGGGAGACGAUACUACACGUAGGUGUCAAACAUUUUUCUAUUAACAUUGCUUCGUGUUCAAUACAUACGGAUUUGUGUUAACUUAGAAAAGUAACGGAUCAAAACUAUUCGAAACCAAAAAACGUUAUGAUCAAUAAGCAAUUAUAAUAAGUUUAGGGGAGGAAUUAGAACCCCUAGCUUGCGACUUUGAGAAACAUGACGUGUUAGUAUGACCUUGAUCGACCUUUUCCAUGCCAACUAGUUUAACCUUAGCACAUGCCCUAAAUAUAAAAGGAGCACGUAGGUCUCAUCACAACUUCCCAUAUAACAAUAUCAAGAAGCGACAAAUGAUGGAUGAUGAUCUACAUCAUAUUUCUUUCGUCUUUACUAUAGCAUAGUUAUUUCAAAUCUCUUCAGUCCAUGUGCACCCUUCCCGCUAAAUUUAUGUCAUUUUUCUGGUUAAAUACAAAAUAUCAGGUUAGUUAAUAUGAACCUCCAUAGAUUUACUCCAUGGAAUAGAAGAUUUCCAUGCAAAAAAAUUGUCAUGGAGGUUCAGAUUUAUGUCAUUUCUUACAUUUAGCAAUGCGAUUUUAUCAUCAGAUUCUAAGUUCUCUAUUGAAUUAUAUGAGAAUUAAUUUAGUAAUAAAAUCUUUGUAAUAUCUAACAAAAAUAAAUGUUAUUUAGGCGUAAGCAGGAACAACAAGAGAGUGAUAUAUCAAUAUAUUCUUUUUGAAAAUUUCUCAUAUGAUAAUAGAGGGAAUUUAAUAAUAGACGGCAAUAUCUUAUUAGAUCAAACGUGAAAUAAACAUUUCAAUGGGACUACAACAUGUAGUUAUCCUUUUUCUCAAACGUACAAAAAAUGUAGUAACUUCAGAAACCAUAUUGUGCAUCUGUGUGCACUAAAAUUUUAUUGGAAACACAAAGGAAAUAACAAUAUAGAUUCAGAGCAGGUUCACUUAUUUUGUUCAGAUCCUUAAAUGGCUCAACGAAUUGUUCCCAUCACGUUUUCUAGCCACAUAGUGGUUGGAGGCUUCCGGAGUGGUUUCCCUGUACUUGGGAGGGUUUUCUUCAGACAAAAGCUCUUUAAUGGGUCCAUAUACUCUCGGACUUGUUGAAGGAGGAUGCACAAAGAAAGAUGCAACCGAAGUGCGUGGCUCUUUACCUCCAUUUGCCAAAACUCUAUGCUCCACACUCACAAACUUGUCAUUCGUUAUAAGCUGCAAAAAAAAAAAAACACUAUGAAGACCUUGUUUUCUUACUAAUUAUGGACCGUUUGAUUAUAAGUGUAAACAACAACUUGCCUGUAGUAGAUCACCAACGUUAAGGAUAAGAGCAUUAGGAUUAGGAGGAACAUCGAUCCAGUAUCCAUCAUGGAGAACUUGAAGUCCUCCAAUAUGGUCUUGAAGAAGUAUAGUGAUGAAAGAUCUGUCUGUAUGCUGAGUGGCGCCCAGCGUUAGGUCUGGCUCAGGACACGGCGGGUAACAAUGACAGAGCAUCAACAAACCUUUUGCACAAUCCAUUUUUUUGAGGUGGUUAGGCUUCAGCCCUAAGGAUUCUGAUAUGAGCUCAAAUAUUAACUCCCCAAACAUCAUCACUCUCUUUGAGUAGUCCAACAUGAUCUCCCUAAAACACUCAAACAUAAAAUAAACUCUCAAAACCCAUCAAACAAAAACACUAAUGAAGUUAGUAUUAAUUAAAAUCAAGAGAAGCCGUGUUCGUACCUACAAAUGUCUGGUAAGUCAUCGGUUUUUGGAACAUCAGGGAACAUAAAACAACUUAAGGUAUCUCUCCAGCUCGCAGCAGGAGAGUCAUAGAGAUCAGAGUUAGAGUUAUACUUAAUCGCUUUGGUUUUUUCACGGCUAUAGAACCUUUUCCUCGCUUCUGGAUCUUGCGCGUGAAACGCACGGAUCCCUUCUUUUAUCUUCUCCAUGACCUCGAGAGGAAUCCCAUGGUUAAUCGCCUGGAAAAAACCGAACUUCUCCAUAGCGUCUUUAACCUUCUCAGUCACUUCCUUUCUUGUGACCGUGGACUCGAACACGCCACCUCGGAGAUCUAUCGUAGGGAUAGUCAACGUAGAAGGAGGUUUAGGGUUAGUUACCGUGGCUUGCGGGUUAUGGAAUAUGCGUGGGAUUUUUGUGAUUCCGGCGUCGACGAGACCCUUCACCCCGAUUUUCAUCUCGUCGAAUGCUUUUACCUCAUCCGCACGGUCAAAUGUUCCCGCCAUUGUGCACUUUGACUCCAACUUUUUUUUUCUGAGUGUUUUAUGAAAGGAAAUGGAGAAACUUGUGUUGUGUUUUGAUCGAGUGACCUAGCUCUGUCUCUAUAUAUAAGGAGGGAAAACUGGCGAAGACAUGAAAUAGAUGCCAAAGAGAAGGACGGGUCGUGUAAUUAAUCCAUUCAGCGGCGUGCCAAUACAUAAAAAGAUAAUAUAAAAAAUGGUUUAGAAGUCUGUCUAAUAAUAUUUUUAAACAACUUUAAAAAAAAAUAAAAAAUCCAGUCUAUUGUCUUAAAAAUCGGUUUUGGCGAUCGUCUAAUCACCAAUUUCAUAUAAAGAACCUAAUUACCAUCUAAUGAUUUUUUAAACAUUGAUAAAAACCAAGCGAAACACAAUGUGUUCUUAAUAAAUCCCCUUUUCAAUAAAAAAUCGAAAUUGACAUAUCAUCUUAAAAAGAAACAAACAAUUCGAACAUUGCUGACAAUACAGUUUUCAUGGUAAGUUUAAAUAAUUUUUAGCAUACAUUUGCCGCAUCAUCAAUCUGAAAUUUGAGAAAAUGAUGUGAAAAGAUGAAUAAACAUCCGAAAUGCAACGUUGGUUCUCAGGGCCAAUCAAAAAAAUUCGUACAAUGCAAUUUUAGAAACAUCAAUACGUAAAUUUCUUAGGACAAUGAUUCGAUAUUACUAUCAAUAUUAAAUUUCUCAAUUCUCAAAAUAGUAAGAGUCUUGAAAAAAAUCCAUAUUUUUUCAGAUUAAGAAAACAGUCAUUUAAGCUUCAGAAAAGUGAGAUUUGGAGUAAACGCUAGGACGAUUUGUAUAUCUUAUAAAUAAAUCAUACUUACCCAAGAAAAAUAUUAUGCUAAAAGAAUGGAUAUACGUAUAGCUUGAAAAUGUAUUAACCAAUUGUAUUAAGUUCCAAACGUUGUUAUCACUCAAAGCUGUAAUAGGAUAAUUUUUUUCUUAAGUCAAAUUAAUAACAAUGCACAAUCGACUAUCUAAUUACUCGAACAUGAUUUUCCGAAGUAUUGUCGUUGUUUUGCAUCAAAUUCAGCAAUUUAUCUUUUAUUUUAUUAUAUUUGGGUGGCACAAGCAUAUAGCUAUUCUUCUUUUGGAGAGCUAGGUAAAUUCUUCUGGAUGAAAUUUGUAUCUUUGUUUAUCAAAUCGUGUUUAUAUUUUCUUUCAUUUAUUAGUGUAUUAACCUUACUUAACUUAUUCUACUUGAAACUUGAAAAAUGUCCAGUUACAAAAAAAAAAGAAAAAAAACUUGAAAAAUGUUCUGAUAUUCCAAGUAUAGUAAUUUGCUGACAUAAUUUCGUAGUAGUUAACCGGAAGCCACUAAUUGGAUUAUAAAAAGGUUGACAUUAUUGUAAGAGAAAGAGUUCAUCCCUAUGGUGAACUUUUAGAUUCACCAACCAAUCAAAAAUUAGCAUACUAAAUGUAGUUUUUUUCAUAAAAAGAAACAAAAAAAAAUAUUAGUAGCUGUAAAAAAACAUUUUUAAAAAAAAUUGUUAACAUCCACACUAAAUCCUAAACCCUAAAUCCUAAACACUAAACCUAAACCCUAAACUUUUACAUAAACCUUAAACCCUUGUGUAAAACAUAAAUCCUUAGAUAAAUCUUAAAAACUAAACCCUAAAAUUUAAGGUAAACCCUAAAUCCUUGGGUAAAUUUGAAAUCAUUGGAUAAAUCUUAAUUCUUAGGCAAAUUUUAAAUCAUUGAAUAAAAUCUUUUGGGUUUAGGGUUUUACCCAAAAGUUUAGGAUUUAUCCAAGAAUUUAGAUUUACCCAAAAGCUUAAGGUUUAGUGUUUAGGGUUAUGAAUUUAGGGUUUAGUAUUUAUGAUUUACAUAAGGAUUUAUGAUUUACAUAAGAGUUUAGGAUUUACCUAAGAGUUUAGAGUUUAGAUUUAGCAUUUAUGAUUUAGGAUCUAGGGCGGACGGCAUUAACAAUUUAUAGAAAAAAUAUAUUUUUUUACAGCUACUAAUAAUUUUAUUCAUUUUUAUCUAUUUAUUUUAAGAAGUAAAUUCGAAAUAUUUUGUUUUCUUUUACGAAAAAUACUGUAUUUUAUAUGCUAAUUUUUAUUGGUUGAUGAACCUAAAAGUUCACUAUCGGGGUGAACCCAAGUUUUUUCUCUUAUUUUAAUAAGGAUUGAACGUGGACGACAGAGAAUCAAGGAGAUAUAUUGAGAUAUCGUCAGUAUUAUUCAAAAAGAAAUCAUCAAUAUUAUAUCAUACUAUUAAAAACUUAUUAUCAUAUCAUCGAGAUCGUAUCUUUUAGGCCUAUUUAGAACUAUUUUAUCAUUAUCAAUAAUAUAUCAUAUUAAUAAAAUCAUUUUUAUAUUUUGAAUGGAAACCAUAGAGCGGUGCAUCUUUGGAAUUGAUGUGAUUUAAAAGUUAUAAAUGUCAGCAAUAUUCAAGAAUGUUCCUAUAAAUAUUUCCAACUUUAAUUACAUUUGACUUGGGAAAAAUAAAAAAUGAAACUAAACCUAAAAUUUUAAUUGAAAAUCUAUUGUGUAAAAUGAAAAAUAUUUUUAUAAUAACAUUAUAUAUAUAAUAUUUUAGGUUUUUUGUCAACAUAUAAUAUUUUUGCUAUAUAUCAUAAUCAACAAUUCUAAAACUAAUGUAAAAACAACAUAUAAAAACUGACAUAUUAAAUAAUAUUAUAUAAACAUAAUAUAUUUUUUAUAAACGCUUUGUACCGGAAAAAUAUCUGAACUUGUUUUAGCAAAAAAAAAAACAUAAUAUAUUUUCAAUUAUAAAAUUUCACUGAUUUAUAUUUUGUUAACCAUGAUGCAUAAAUUGUUUAAAUAGGUAAUGCUAACAAAAUGAGAUCUGGUCCGAGAUAAAAAAGCACGUGACUUCGUAUCGGGGCUGGCUCCUUACUAUAAAAGGGCUUUGGACAAAACAAAUUAUAUAUUUAGCAAGAAGCAUUUUAAUAUAUUAAUCAAGUUGAUAUGAUAGUAGUAUAAUAAUUUUUAGAAUCAUUUUGUUUUUUUUUUGUCAUCUGUUAGAUUAAUAAACUUUUAACCGUUCGAAACAUGAUUUUUCUAGAGCCAUGCAUAAACCGACAAGGUAAACCAUAAACAUAACCUUUCGAAACCAGUGCCGGCCCUGACCUAAAGCUGGAGAAGCACCAGCUUUAGGCGCCAAACUGAAUUAUAUAUUUAUGGGCAUCACAAAAACCAAAACUUUCAUGUGUCCUAGUGGUUGUGUACCCCUUAACUGGUUUAAAGGUGCUAGGAUCGAUUCUGUAGGGGCACCAAAUUUUGUUUUUGCUUUAGGCAAUAUUAUAGACUGGGCCGGGCCUGUUCGAAACCAAAUUUAAAUAGACAAAAACAAAUGAUUUCACAUAAGCAAGACGAAAAAAUGAUCACUGAAAUCUUUUUUGGAGCACACUCAUAAUCACCAUUGAUACGAAGCUGAACGAUGACAGAAGCCAAAAUGAACGAGAAAGCAAUGACGAUUCAAUUUAUUUGAGAUGAGAUAAGAUCUCUAAAACCUGUUCCAAACUAGGAACCACGAGCCAACACCACUGAAGAACAAGCUUCAACUACAGGAAGCCACGAGAAGACGUAUCUAACACCUCGAGAAGUCGACGAAGUAGACCGUCGUUGACAAUCAAUUACUCAAAGACCGAUCGCAAUUGAACUAUAACUUCACAGUCUCUUACCAAAAGACAACAUUACUUCUCCCUACCGAAGCUUAGUACCGAGAGAUUCAACACCGAAAGCGAAAGCCGAGUAACUAGACCUUACCGGAAGAGAGCACCAUAAGCGAUUUGUCACAAAGAUGACAAGAUAUAAGGCUAAAGACCACAACCACCAAUAAACCACUAAUAAACCACCACAACCUCGAGAUCACACAAGCUCCAAAAAGAUCAAAGAUUUCUGAAUCACAAACCAUUAAUACGCCAAGCUAAGCUACACCAAGACCUGCCAAAACUUAGGGAACCUUUGACAAAGAAAAUGCUAGGAUAAGGAUAAGAAGACAAAAGCCUACAAUCACCGGAGACCUGCCUGAAGCUGCCUUACUAAAUUCGAUGGAAGAAGUAACAACCCACAUCAGAGCCGGUGUAAUCCUGCACCCGCGCACCAGAAAACAAAUUUGAUACUAGCGAGGCAUUCCAAACAAACCUAUAAGGUGAUCAAGCCACCGGCCUUCUUUUCAAGAGAACCCAAAUCGAAAGAGAGAAGCCUCAAAUCGAGAUCUGAGUGACUCCUUCGUCUUCGGUCACCAGGGCGUCAAGCAUAUCCCCGAAGGAGAGGAGAGCUGGCAGGAGGCAAAGAAACAAUGACCACCAGAGCCAUAACCGGCGCACACGCCAUCACGGCCAGAGUAAGAUGAGAACGAAGAUGUCUUCACGGGAGCAUCUUCUUUUUUUUAAAAAAAUAAGUUAAAAUUAUUAGAAUAAUUAAAAUGUAUAUCAUUCAUUAAUUAGGUUAGUUCAUCCUAACUUUGAGUUUAUCUAUGACACAAAACAUAUGAGGUGCUGUACCUUCUAUCAUUCCCCGAUGCCGACGCGUCGCUGUUCAUCCCCGCUUUUCGCUCUCUUCAUCUUUGCCGAUUCUUUUGGUCCAGUUCUUAUAGUUUCUGCUUCUAAUCUACUCUCAUCUCCAACGAAAAGCGCAUAUUUCAACCUGAACUUUACUCAUCGUGUCUAUUUUUUCCCGAAGUUUGUAGUAGUAAUGCGUAUUGCAUGAACUAAACAAAAAAUACAAAAAUACUACAUAAACUUUACAUGUCAUAGUUUUUUCAUUUUCAAACUUUAUAGUAGUGCAUAUUUCAUACUAAACUAAACAAAAAUUCAAAAAUACUAUAUGAGCUCUCAAAAUUGUGCUUAUUUAUAUUGACCAUCAAAAAUGUUUAUUAUCCGUUAAUUUUAGGGCUGGGCAAAUAAACCGAACCCAAAAACCCAAACCGAAUCCGAUCCGAUAAAAAUGAAUCCGAACCGAUCCGAACCCGACGUAAAUACCGAAUGGAUCUUGUUUUGUGGUAUUUCGGGUUAUGGGUAUUAUCCGAACCGAACCCGAAUCUAAAUGGAUAUCCGAUAGAACCCGAAACAUUCAAAACCCGAAACAUUCAAAACCUCGAAAAGAUCUUGUACCAAACAUGAUCUCAAUUCCUAAUAUGUAUCCAAAAUACACUAAGAAAUAUUGAACAUCUAAAAUACUUAUCUAUUACAUGAAGGUUGGUGGUUAUAUUACAUGAAGGUUGAUGGUUGAAGAUGGCCGUUGAAUCUUGAAGUAUUUAGAUUUAGAUUUUGUUUUCGUUAAACAAUGUUUCUCAUUUCAUGAGAACUUGGUUUUUAUUUUAUGCUUUUAUUUAUUUGGUUUUCUUUUUAUAAGUAAAUAUGUUUACUUUUCGUUUGAUUUUGAAUGAUCACGGUUGAUGUUCCUUAUUUUUGAAUCGAUUUUUACUUAAGUUUUAGUUACAAAAUAGGUACAAAUCAUGUAUUUUAAAAUUGAAGAACAAAUUUUACUCAUGUUUUGGUUAUAAAAUAGGUAAAAAUCAGGUAAUUUUAAACCGAAAAACCGAUUGGGACCCGAACCCGAAAGUAUAUUGGGUUGUACCGGUUCUUUGAAGAUUUACUAACCCCGACCCGAACCCGAUAAAACCCGAACCGGUCCGGAACCGAACUUUCAUAUAAUCCGAAUGGGGCUGAUUUUGAUAAACCCAAAAAACUGAAACCCGAUUGGAUAAAACCGAAACCCGUUUGGGACCCCGAAUGCCCAGGCCUAGUUAAUUUAUAAACAUGACAUCAAUUUGAAUAAAUUCUGUAAAAUUUAAAAUUUAAAAAUUUUACAUGAAUUUUCAAAAUCGUGCCUAUAUAUAUGAUCUUCCAAAAGUGUUAGUCAUCCGUUAAUUUUCAAAACACGUCAUUUUGAAUAAAUUCUGUAAAAUGAAAAAUUACUUUUAGAGAGAUUCGAACUCUCACACUUGUAAACAAGUAUAAAGUAAAUAUUUGAAUUAAUAAUAAAUAAUUGAAACUUAUAUAAUAAUGAAUUUUAAAGUUAAAUUUUAAAAAGUAAAUAAUUAUAUAUUUAUUUGAUAAAAAUAAAACAAUAAAAUUUGAUAAGAUUUAUUUGAUUAAGCUAAAACUUAUAAAUAAGUUAAUGUUUAAAAAAAUAAUACAAGAGAAUUAUUUUAGUCUAUCAAUUAAUAUGCUCUUACUUGUUCACAGUGCGAGAGUUCGAACCUCUCAUAAAUUAAUUUUUAAUUUUACAGGAUUAUCCAAAUUGACGUUGUUUUGAUAAAUUAACGAAUGACUUUUAUUUUUAAAAGUCAAUAUAUAUGCACGAUUUUAAGAGUUUAUCUAGUAUUUUAAAACUUUUAAUUUUACAGAAUUUAUCUAAAAUGACGUCAUUUUAAUAAAUUAACAGAUGACUAACAUCUUUGACGGUUAAUAUAUAUAUAAACAUGAUUAUAAGAGUUCACGUACUAUUUUUAAAUUUUUGUUUAAUUCAGUAUGAAAUAUAAACUACUAUAAAGUUUGAGAAUGAAAAGACACGAUGCAUAAAGCUUAUGUAAUAUUUUUAAAUUUUUAUUUAGUUCAAUAUAGAAAACAUACUAGUACAAAGUUCAGUAAAGAAUAGGCACGAGGCAUAAACAUUUUUUCCCGUUUUCAACGGUGAUGAAUCCCCGGGGACUCGACCUACUUGGUUUCAAGCGCCGCUCCAAUUCUCACUUUAUGCUUCGUUGUUGUUUCUUUGACAGUUCCUGGAAAAUCAUGUCAAAAAGAAAUUUUAUUCUUAAUAGUAUCAUCUAAAAUAAAACUAAUAUUUAUUUAUGAUAAUUACAUAUCACAAUUUGUAAUAAUUAAAUAUCAAUAUAAAUGUGUGAUAUUCUAAUUAUACACCAAAAGGUAUAAUAUGUUAGUCGUUGAAUAUACAAGGGUUGAAGAUUUAUUUUAUAUCAUCAUUAUAUUAAAUUUUGUUAUAUGUUUCUACAUGUAUUUUUGGGUGACAUAUUCUAUUUUUUAUUUUAUUAAAAACAUGACAUAUUUAAUAAAACAUGGUAAAAUUAAAAUGCACAAUUCAUGGUAGAAAAAAACAAAAUCCAACAGAAACCUAUAAAAUGAUUAAAUUUUGUAAGCAAUGCUAGGAAAUUUUCUUUUAGAUAUUAAUUGUUGUAAAAACAAAUAAAACUAAUACUUUAGGUAUAUAAGGAGUAUUUCAUGUAUUUGAUUGCCUUUUUGUUUUUCGGUUGAGUUUUGGUGAGAUUAUAGUUUAGUUCGGAGUAUUUGAAUAUAGAAAUACAUGAACUGUUUUAAGAUUAUUUAGAUACAAGUUUAGUUGUUUUAGUUCUGGGAAAACGUCCAUGCCUAGUCAUAUAUCUCAACCGAAGAUACUGAUCAUUUUAAGUCUAGAUUAUUGGAUACACGACAAUAUUAAUAUAUGACCAAAUGUGAAAAAUAGACAUAGUAUUCCACAUGUAUCUUGUGAAUUCAUUCUACACAAUAAAUCUUAGUGAACCUCUAUAUUAUGGUCCAUCUUUUACUAUUCAGAUCCUUAAGUCCGCAAAUUAAGGAGAGAUGUGAUCGAAAUGUGCGGUUCUUCGCCUCUGUUCGCCGAAACCCGAUGCUCCACACUAGCAAACUUAUAGUUGCUUAUAAGCUGCAAAAAAACUAUCAUGCAAGCAUAUAUUGGGAUUUUUCAGAAAUUAUGUUUAGAAAAACAAUCAAGAAUAUAUUUGAGAUCUCCGAGGUUAACGGUAAGAUCUUUCGAUUAGGAGGAACAUCGAUCCAGCAUCCAUCAUGGAGAACUUGAAGACAUCCAAUGUAGUCUUGAAGAAUUGACUAGUGAUAAAAGAUAUAUAUGUGUGUGAACUUAUGCCAAAUGUUAGGUCAGGCUCAUGACAAGUCGGGAAGUAAUAAGAGAGCAAUGAUAAGCUUUGCGGUGUCGAGUUCUUUGAGGUGGCUAGGUUCUAAACCAAGAACUUGUGAUAAAAUUUCAAAGAUUAUCAUUUUUUGUACCCCAACAUGAUCUCUCUGAAAUAUUAACCACCACUACACUUCAUCAUUAGUAAUUUAUAUAUAGCAGAUCACCAAAAAAAAAUAUUUAUAUAUAGCAAAUAAGUCCUGAAAUAGAUCAAAUAUCUUGUGUAGUCUUAAUUAAUUCUGAACUUGAAAUGAACUAUCAAAAAGAGAAAUUAUAUUUCCACAUUAUUCAAAGUAGUUUGGAACGAGAUUUUUUUUUUGGAUUAACCAGGAGAUAUCUCAAAUCUACAGAAUAGCUCAUACUAAUCGUCUAAUAAGAGGUAUAGUUCAAAGAUAGGCCUUCUCUUCUGAUGCAAAUAAAAUUCAAAUCAUGGCCACAUAUCCGUAUGAUCACACAUGUUUAGUGUCGUAUGGUUGUUUCGAACCUGAGUCGCUUAACUCAUAGGAAUUUGCCUACUAUUAGACCACCCAUGUGUGGUUAACAACAACUUUUGUGUCUUUGGUAUAAUCUAUUAGCAAAUUCUUUUUGUAAAUAUUCAUAAAUAAAAUGUAAAUUAUAUUCCAAUAUAUUUAGGAUCCAACUGGUGAUCUUUUCGGUAACACGAGGAACGUAUAGGAAUAAAAUUGUAGGAAUAAAAAUGAAUGCUUGUUCCUUAUCAAAUUUAACAAGGAAUGCUUUUGUUCUAUAUUUCUCUACAAAAAAGGAAUGGAGAGGAACAAAAAGGAAAAAUUAUUCCUUGUGAAUGAUGGUUUUUUUGGAGAAUGAUAAGGAAUUCAGUGUUCAUUUUUCGUUCCUUGGUCACCAUUCAAAGCCUUACUUUAUUUUGUUGUUUAGGUUUUAUUUGUAAUUUUUAUUAAAGGUGAUUUAAAUUUGGUACAACAGUAGAAUGUCACUUUCUUAAAAUAUGAUAUUUUAUUUUGAUUUAAGAAAACUUCCUAAAAUAGAAAAAUUGGGGUUUUAGUUUAGAUUAUAAAUACAUAUAUAAAAUUUUUAUAAAUUAUUCAUUCAUAUCACUAAUAAAAAUCUGUACAUUGGUAUUUUAUCUCAAUGGAUUUUUUCUAUAGUUUUUAGUUUUAUUCAAGUUUUAUUUGUGGCCACUCACAAACAGUAAUCAAAUUUUCUUUUUGUUUUUAGAAACUUGGGUUAAAUUAAAAUAUUAUUUCCUCAAGACAUUAUUUGAGAAGUGAUUUUUCAUUUGUCAUCAUCACAAAAAUUUUGAAAGAAAAAUGAUGUCAUAUCAUACCAAAAAUGAUGACAUAACUUGAAGCUAAUUAUGACAUUAACAUUUACAUUAAAUGUGAUUUAUAUUUUUGGUAAGUUUUUUUAAAUAUGGUAGUAACUCAUAAAUCAUCAUUAAUAUAAUAAUAAAUAAUAUAAUAGUAGAAAUAGAAAUAUAAUAAUAUUUUACAAUUUUUGAAAUAUUCUUUAUUCUAUUUUUAUAAUUUUUGUUACUAAAACAAUUUUUUCAAAACUUUAUGCAGUUUUUUUAAAAAAAAAUGUAAUUUUCUAAUCCCAUUACCAUUAGUUUCUUUUUAAUAUUUAAAAUUUUGAGAAAUAUUAUUUAGUUUACGUUCGAUAAUUAUAUAACUACAAAAAAUUCUCUUAAUUUUGUAGAAUUUGAUCUCUUAUAUUUUAACUAAAAGAAAUAGAUAAAAAUCUUUCUAAUAUUAUAAUUUUAAAUAUAUACAUAUCUACUAUUAAAUUUAAAUUACAAAAGUCUUUAUUUUAUUUUAAUUUUACAUAUAAUUAUAUUACAAUUUAAAAUUAAACAUUGUAAGGAGAUAAUAAAGUCAAAAAUUAACAAAAGUUUAUUUUAAAUAUGAUUUAAAUUUUAAAACUUUAUUUCUGCACAUGUGCAAGAAAACACAUAGUAACUUUAUAAAAGAAUAGUUUAUUUAAUUUAAAAUCUUACAAAAAAGAUGUUAGGUCCAAUAUAAUAUUUCUAAAAUGAUUAAAUUGUUAGAUAUCUUUUAUAUACUACUUAUGUCAUAUCACCUCUUCUGAUGUGAGAUUCUUAACACAAGUGUUACCUAUCUGAGCUCUGAAUACUAUAAAUACUCUCAUAUAGUAGGCAAAAUUAAUCAGCACAAAAUCUUGUUCUCUUUUUCUAUGAGCUUUUUUAAACUUGUUGAAACAAACAUAAAUUAAAGUUUCAUUAGUUUUGAUGGGUAGUGCUAAAUCAGCCAUGCGGAUCUUCUUACUAGCAAUGCUCAUCGCAUCUUGUGCCACGGCCAUGGACAUGUCCGUCGUUUCAUACGACUAUAACCACCAUGUUGUUGGCAGUUCUGGCCACCGUGUGGCCACUGUGCCCCGCCNNNNNNNNNNNNNNNNNNNNNNNNNNNNNNNNNNNNNNNNNNNNNNNNNNNNNNNNNNNNNNNNNNNNNNNNNNNNNNNNNNNNNNNNNNNNNNNNNNNNNNNNNNNNNNNNNNNNNNNNNNNNNNNNNNNNNNNNNNNNNNNNNNNNNNNNNNNNNNNNNNNNNNNNNNNNNNNNNNNNNNNNNNNNNNNNNNNNNNNNNNNNNNNNNNNNNNNNNNNNNNNNNNNNNNNNNNNNNNNNNNNNNNNNNNNNNNNNNNNNNNNNNNNNNNNNNNNNNNNNNNNNNNNNNNNNNNNNNNNNNNNNNNNNNNNNNNNNNNNNNNNNNNNNNNNNNNNNNNNNNNNNNNNNNNNNNNNNNNNNNNNNNNNNNNNNNNNNNNNNNNNNNNNNNNNNNNNNNNNNNNNNNNNNNNNNNNNNNNNNNNNNNNNNNNNNNNNNNNNNNNNNNNNNNNNNNNNNNNNNNNNNNNNNNNNNNNNNNNNNNNNNNNNNNNNNNNNNNNNNNNNNNNNNNNNNNNNNNNNNNNNNNNNNNNNNNNNNNNNNNNNNNNNNNNNNNNNNNNNNNNNNNNNNNNNNNNNNNNNNNNNNNNNNNNNNNNNNNNNNNNNNNNNNNNNNNNNNNNNNNNNNNNNNNNNNNNNNNNNNNNNNNNNNNNNNNNNNNNNNNNNNNNNNNNNNNNNNNNNNNNNNNNNNNNNNNNNNNNNNNNNNNNNNNNNNNNNNNNNNNNNNNNNNNNNNNNNNNNNNNNNNNNNNNNNNNNNNNNNNNNNNNNNNNNNNNNNNNNNNNNNNNNNNNNNNNNNNNNNNNNNNNNNNNNNNNNNNNNNNNNNNNNNNNNNNNNNNNNNNNNNNNNNNNNNNNNNNNNNNNNNNNNNNNNNNNNNNNNNNNNNNNNNNNNNNNNNNNNNNNUGAUCCAUCCAAAUGAUCCAUCCAGAUUUUAGGAGCUGUUCGUUUCUCUAUCCAGAUGAGCCAUCUAAAUGAGUCAUCUACAUGAAUUUUAUGUUUAUUUCUUUAUUUCUAUUUCCAUCCAGAUAUGUUUAAUAAACAAAUUACAAACAUACCCAUGUUUUGAAUUAAUCAUAUGCUUAAUAUUAAAUUUAGCUAUACUAAUUUUUAUUAUUUAGUAUAAAAUAUAUUUCUACUGAAAUUAUUUUAAAAUUAACAUUUCACAUUUAUAAAUUUUUAUUUCAUAUAAAUUUAUUUAUUUAUUUUUAUUUUUUAAAAAAUAUAUUUAUUUUAUUUAAAUAACUUUUUAUUUUUAAUUUAAUUUUCAUUAGAAUUUAAUACAACUAUAACUUUUAAUCAAACUCAAAAUAGAAACUCAAAUUUGAAUAAACUUCCAAACAACUCAAAGUAGAAAUUUAAAGUGGAAACUCAAAUUUUAUAAAACUAAAAUUUAAAAUAUGAAAGCAAUGGUAAGAGCAUUAUGUACUCAAAUUUUGCAGUUUUAGCGGAAAAAUAUGCCUUGCGGUUUUGGUGGAAAAACACAUUUUUAAAGUUUUGGUGGGAAAACGUGUUUUUAAGAUUUUGGCGGGAAAACACCUUUUACGAUUUUGGCACUAAAAUGCAUUUUUGGGUUUUUGCCAAGAAACCACGUUUUUACGGAUUUGGCGGGAAACACAUUUUUGCGGGUUUCGCGGGAAAACGCGUUUUAGCAGUUUUGGCGGGAAACACACAUUUUUGCGGUUUUAGCAGGAAAAUGCAUUUUUGCGGUUUUGGUGAGAAACUCAUUUUUGCGGUUUUGGCAGGAAAAUUUGUUUUUGCGGCUUUGGUUAGAAACCACGUUUUUAUGAUUUUGACGGGAAAACGCGAUUUUAUAGUUUUGGCGGGAAAACGCAUUUUGUGGGUUUGGCGGAAAAAAUGGUUUUGCAGGUUUGGUGGGAAAACAUGUUUUUGCGGGUUUGGCGGAAAAUGCGUUUUUGGAGUUUUUACGGGAAAACGUGUUUUGAUGUGAAAGUACGUUUUUGUAGUUUUGACGAGAACAUCUAUUUUGGCGGGAAAGUAUAUUUUUUACGAGAAAAUUGCGAUUUUGGUGAAAAAUUAUGUUUGUGGUUUUGGCAGAAAAAUGUGUUUUGUAGUUUUGGAGGGAAAAUAUAUUUUUUGUGGUUUUGUCGUUUUUCAUGAGUGAUAAAAUGAUAUUAUGUUUGAGUCUGUAAUUUGUUAAUUACACUGAGGUAUAAUAGACAUUAUCCCAUUUUGAUAAACUCAUAUCCAUCUAGAUGAUCUCAUUUGGAUCAGCCAGCUGAUUUUUGAAAUUAAGCCUAAAUUUUUAAAACUCAUUCAGAUGAGCCAUCGAGAUGACUUGUACUUUUAGUGACUAAACCUACAAAACUCUCAUCUUCACUCAGAUGGCUCAUCUGAAUGAAAAAAACGAACAGCCCCCAAUACUCAUACUUCAUCUAGGCAAUCUUAAUAAUAAUCAAUACUUCAAUUUUCACCCCGAACAGCAACACAAUCUCUCGGUGUAUCAAACAAAAAGAAGAGUGAGUAUUGCUUGCGAACAACACCAAUGUCUAAGUAUGUAAGACCAGAGCCACGUCAAAUUUGAUUCCUUACACCAGCAUAGACUGCUUAUCGUAACAAAAUUAUUUAAUACGACACUUAUCCGAUAGUGGACCUUGAUACUGUCUCCUUUGUGAGUCUGAACAUCACGUUUCUGAGACUUGAAUUGUAAAAAUGAAUAAUUCAAUACUGAGUCAUCUACCACUCACACAGAUUGAGAAAUCAAAUUCACCAUGGAAGUUGGUACCAAUUGCAUCAAAAAUUUGACGACGUGAAAGAGAUUUUUCAGCAUACCUUGACACCAAUCUGCAACUCUAUCACAUCAGCUGACUUCUUUGCAUAAAAUGAAGAUGACAAACAACGACAUAAUGCAAAGGAGAUCAGAUCGAUUGAUUGCAAAGGUAUGUUUUUUUUUUGAAAUCAGAGAAGACCAAUGAGAUUAAAUCAGAUUGCCUAUACCUGAUGUUAGAACAGCAAGCAGAACUAAAACUCCACAGAUUUCAUGGCGAACGCAGGGCUAAUCAUCUCUUCGUUCUUUCAUUGAUUAUACUGUACAUUUGCGGUAAGUUUUGAUUCAACAAACGUGAAAAAAGGGAUUUAACAAACGGGUUUAAAAUUAUCUCAUUCAAUAGAUGUUCAAUGAAGAUCUAUAUAUGAAUGCGAACGCCGAAAAUAAUUGAAAACUAAUAUGACCAUGAAAUUUAAGAAUGUAAAUGUCUAAAGCAUUAAACCGGUGAAAUAAAUUUGUUUAUGAACAAUAGACGGAGUUAAAGAAGAGACCUGAGAAUCCAGCAGAAGCAUAUCCACUCCCAUGAGCACACCACCACGGCGGAAAUUCCUGGCUUCCCAGAGACAGAACAACUGGACUUGAACAGUGGAGGAGGAGCGGCCGUCUGCAAAUCGGAGAGGAAAACUGAAACGUUUGCCAUAGCUCACAGAAUUAGUUUAAUCUUUAGUUUAGAACGAACGAGAGGAUGAUUCUCAGAGUAGGAAACCUCACCUUUUUAUAGUAGAACCUUCACCGCCUUGCAAAAUCAGAACUCUCAAUGAAUAUAGAGCGUGGGAGAUAGAUUAAUGGAGGGUUUAAAGAGGCUUAUUCGGUAACUGGUAUCCUUUCGUACUGUGAUGAAGCAGAUGAAAGAAAUAUAGCUUGUGAAUCCGUAAUCGCCAUGAGCUCUGGAGAGGCGAAGAAGAAGAACACGGGUGGAACCCUAAACGACGAUGCGACAUUUCACCUGGUGGAGAUGAUAAAUGGGCUGGGCUCGAAGAAGUUAAAACAAAGCAGGGCCAGAACAAACGAACUGCACAUAGCGCGGAUCAAAGAAGACACGUGUCACUGCAAGAAGAAUCCAUUUGAUGACGUGGCACCCUAAGUAGAAAUAAAACUCUUAUAUAUAUAUAGAUAGAUAGAUAGGUAGAUGAAUUUGUGUUUUUGUUUUUUCUAUUGUUCGUUAGUUUAACUUUAAAUAAAUAUUUUUGCUUUCUUUUUAUUUUUCACUAACUUUUUAUUUAACAUAUUUUCUAGUUUUUAAUGAAAUGCAUUUUUAUUUCAGAUAAAUUUUAUUAUUAUAUUCAUAAUUCUCUUUAUCUAUACUAUUAAAUAGGAGUGUUCAAUCCGGAUAUCGGUUCGGUUUCGGUUCGGUUUUUUUCGGUUUUCGGUAUUUCGGUUAGUAAAAUAUAACUACCAUUCUAAAUCCAUAUUUACUUCGAUUCGGUUCGGUUUAUAUACCGUCGGUUUUCGGUUUAUUCGGUUUUAUACCAAAAAACAUAAUUAUUUUGUUUGAGAUUAUAUUAUAUGAAUUUUAGAGUCAUAUUGUCAACACAGUCAUUUAUUAAAAAUAUAUUACAUGUUCAAAUAAAUGAACAAAAAAAGUAAAAAUGCUUCUACCAUCAAAUAAAAUAAUCAAAUCUAUAACUAAAAUCAAAGCUUGAAAUUUUGAAAAUAAAAAUAUGAAACAAAACAGAAACAUGAAAGAAAAGUUUUUCCACUCUUCCAUAUUUAGUGUUNNNNNNNNNNNNNNNNNNNNNNNNNNNNNNNNNNNNNNNNNNNNNNNNNNNNNNNNNNNNNNNNNNNNNNNNNNNNNNNNNNNNNNNNNNNNNNNNNNNNNNNNNNNNNNNNNNNNNNNNNNNNNNNNNNNNNNNNNNNNNNNNNNNNNNNNNNNNNNNNNNNNNNNNNNNNNNNNNNNNNNNNNNNNNNNNNNNNNNNNNNNNNNNNNNNNNNNNNNNNNNNNNNNNNNNNNNNNNNNNNNNNNNNNNNNNNNNNNNNNNNNNNNNNNNNNNNNNNNNNNNNNNNNNNNNNNNNNNNNNNNNNNNNNNNNNNNNNNNNNNNNNNNNNNNNNNNNNNNNNNNNNNNNNNNNNNNNNNNNNNNNNNNNNNNNNNNNNNNNNNNNNNNNNNNNNNNNNNNNNNNNNNNNNNNNNNNNNNNNNNNNNNNNNNNNNNNNNNNNNNNNNNNNNNNNNNNNNNNNNNNNNNNNNNNNNNNNNNNNNNNNNNNNNNNNNNNNNNNNNNNNNNNNNNNNNNNNNNNNNNNNNNNNNNNNNNNNNNNNNNNNNNNNNNNNNNNNNNNNNNNNNNNNNNNNNNNNNNNNNNNNNNNNNNNNNNNNNNNNNNNNNNNNNNNNNNNNNNNNNNNNNNNNNNNNNNNNNNNNNNNNNNNNNNNNNNNNNNNNNNNNNNNNNNNNNNNNNNNNNNNNNNNNNNNNNNNNNNNNNNNNNNNNNNNNNNNNNNNNNNNNNNNNNNNNNNNNNNNNNNNNNNNNNNNNNNNNNNNNNNNNNNNNNNNNNNNNNNNNNNNNNNNNNNNNNNNNNNNNNNNNNNNNNNNNNNNNNNNNNNNNNNNNNNNNNNNNNNNNNNNNNNNNNNNNNNNNNNNNNNNNNNNNNNNNNNNNNNNNNNNNNNNNNNNNNNNNNNNNNNNNNNNNNNNNNNNNNNNNNNNNNNNNNNNNNNNNNNNNNNNNNNNNNNNNNNNNNNNNNNNNNNNNNNNNNNNNNNNNNNNNNNNNNNNNNNNNNNNNNNNNNNNNNNNNNNNNNNNNNNNNNNNNNNNNNNNNNNNNNNNNNNNNNNNNNNNNNNNNNNNNNNNNNNNNNNNNNNNNNNNNNNNNNNNNNNNNNNNNNNNNNNNNNNNNNNNNNNNNNNNNNNNNNNNNNNNNNNNNNNNNNNNNNNNNNNNNNNNNNNNNNNNNNNNNNNNNNNNNNNNNNNNNNNNNNNNNNNNNNNNNNNNNNNNNNNNNNNNNNNNNNNNNNNNNNNNNNNNNNNNNNNNNNNNNNNNNNNNNNNNNNNNNNNNNNNNNNNNNNNNNNNNNNNNNNNNNNNNNNNNNNNNNNNNNNNNNNNNNNNNNNNNNNNNNNNNNNNNNNNNNNNNNNNNNNNNNNNNNNNNNNNNNNNNNNNNNNNNNNNNNNNNNNNNNNNNNNNNNNNNNNNNNNNNNNNNNNNNNNNNNNNNNNNNNNNNNNNNNNNNNNNNNNNNNNNNNNNNNNNNNNNNNNNNNNNNNNNNNNNNNNNNNNNNNNNNNNNNNNNNNNNNNNNNNNNNNNNNNNNNNNNNNNNNNNNNNNNNNNNNNNNNNNNNNNNNNNNNNNNNNNNNNNNNNNNNNNNNNNNNNNNNNNNNNNNNNNNNNNNNNNNNNNNNNNNNNNNNNNNNNNNNNNNNNNNNNNNNNNNNNNNNNNNNNNNNNNNNNNNNNNNNNNNNNNNNNNNNNNNNNNNNNNNNNNNNNNNNNNNNNNNNNNNNNNNNNNNNNNNNNNNNNNNNNNNNNNNNNNNNNNNNNNNNNNNNNNNNNNNNNNNNNNNNNNNNNNNNNNNNNNUGAUCCAUCCAAAUGAUCCAUCCAGAUUUUAGGAGCUGUUCGUUUCUCUAUCCAGAUGAGCCAUCUAAAUGAGUCAUCUACAUGAAUUUUAUGUUUAUUUCUUUAUUUCUAUUUCCAUCCAGAUAUGUUUAAUAAACAAAUUACAAACAUACCCAUGUUUUGAAUUAAUCAUAUGCUUAAUAUUAAAUUUAGCUAUACUAAUUUUUAUUAUUUAGUAUAAAAUAUAUUUCUACUGAAAUUAUUUUAAAAUUAACAUUUCACAUUUAUAAAUUUUUAUUUCAUAUAAAUUUAUUUAUUUAUUUUUAUUUUUUAAAAAAUAUAUUUAUUUUAUUUAAAUAACUUUUUAUUUUUAAUUUAAUUUUCAUUAGAAUUUAAUACAACUAUAACUUUUAAUCAAACUCAAAAUAGAAACUCAAAUUUGAAUAAACUUCCAAACAACUCAAAGUAGAAAUUUAAAGUGGAAACUCAAAUUUUAUAAAACUAAAAUUUAAAAUAUGAAAGCAAUGGUAAGAGCAUUAUGUACUCAAAUUUUGCAGUUUUAGCGGAAAAAUAUGCCUUGCGGUUUUGGUGGAAAAACACAUUUUUAAAGUUUUGGUGGGAAAACGUGUUUUUAAGAUUUUGGCGGGAAAACACCUUUUACGAUUUUGGCACUAAAAUGCAUUUUUGGGUUUUUGCCAAGAAACCACGUUUUUACGGAUUUGGCGGGAAACACAUUUUUGCGGGUUUCGCGGGAAAACGCGUUUUAGCAGUUUUGGCGGGAAACACACAUUUUUGCGGUUUUAGCAGGAAAAUGCAUUUUUGCGGUUUUGGUGAGAAACUCAUUUUUGCGGUUUUGGCAGGAAAAUUUGUUUUUGCGGCUUUGGUUAGAAACCACGUUUUUAUGAUUUUGACGGGAAAACGCGAUUUUAUAGUUUUGGCGGGAAAACGCAUUUUGUGGGUUUGGCGGAAAAAAUGGUUUUGCAGGUUUGGUGGGAAAACAUGUUUUUGCGGGUUUGGCGGAAAAUGCGUUUUUGGAGUUUUUACGGGAAAACGUGUUUUGAUGUGAAAGUACGUUUUUGUAGUUUUGACGAGAACAUCUAUUUUGGCGGGAAAGUAUAUUUUUUACGAGAAAAUUGCGAUUUUGGUGAAAAAUUAUGUUUGUGGUUUUGGCAGAAAAAUGUGUUUUGUAGUUUUGGAGGGAAAAUAUAUUUUUUGUGGUUUUGUCGUUUUUCAUGAGUGAUAAAAUGAUAUUAUGUUUGAGUCUGUAAUUUGUUAAUUACACUGAGGUAUAAUAGACAUUAUCCCAUUUUGAUAAACUCAUAUCCAUCUAGAUGAUCUCAUUUGGAUCAGCCAGCUGAUUUUUGAAAUUAAGCCUAAAUUUUUAAAACUCAUUCAGAUGAGCCAUCGAGAUGACUUGUACUUUUAGUGACUAAACCUACAAAACUCUCAUCUUCACUCAGAUGGCUCAUCUGAAUGAAAAAAACGAACAGCCCCCAAUACUCAUACUUCAUCUAGGCAAUCUUAAUAAUAAUCAAUACUUCAAUUUUCACCCCGAACAGCAACACAAUCUCUCGGUGUAUCAAACAAAAAGAAGAGUGAGUAUUGCUUGCGAACAACACCAAUGUCUAAGUAUGUAAGACCAGAGCCACGUCAAAUUUGAUUCCUUACACCAGCAUAGACUGCUUAUCGUAACAAAAUUAUUUAAUACGACACUUAUCCGAUAGUGGACCUUGAUACUGUCUCCUUUGUGAGUCUGAACAUCACGUUUCUGAGACUUGAAUUGUAAAAAUGAAUAAUUCAAUACUGAGUCAUCUACCACUCACACAGAUUGAGAAAUCAAAUUCACCAUGGAAGUUGGUACCAAUUGCAUCAAAAAUUUGACGACGUGAAAGAGAUUUUUCAGCAUACCUUGACACCAAUCUGCAACUCUAUCACAUCAGCUGACUUCUUUGCAUAAAAUGAAGAUGACAAACAACGACAUAAUGCAAAGGAGAUCAGAUCGAUUGAUUGCAAAGGUAUGUUUUUUUUUUGAAAUCAGAGAAGACCAAUGAGAUUAAAUCAGAUUGCCUAUACCUGAUGUUAGAACAGCAAGCAGAACUAAAACUCCACAGAUUUCAUGGCGAACGCAGGGCUAAUCAUCUCUUCGUUCUUUCAUUGAUUAUACUGUACAUUUGCGGUAAGUUUUGAUUCAACAAACGUGAAAAAAGGGAUUUAACAAACGGGUUUAAAAUUAUCUCAUUCAAUAGAUGUUCAAUGAAGAUCUAUAUAUGAAUGCGAACGCCGAAAAUAAUUGAAAACUAAUAUGACCAUGAAAUUUAAGAAUGUAAAUGUCUAAAGCAUUAAACCGGUGAAAUAAAUUUGUUUAUGAACAAUAGACGGAGUUAAAGAAGAGACCUGAGAAUCCAGCAGAAGCAUAUCCACUCCCAUGAGCACACCACCACGGCGGAAAUUCCUGGCUUCCCAGAGACAGAACAACUGGACUUGAACAGUGGAGGAGGAGCGGCCGUCUGCAAAUCGGAGAGGAAAACUGAAACGUUUGCCAUAGCUCACAGAAUUAGUUUAAUCUUUAGUUUAGAACGAACGAGAGGAUGAUUCUCAGAGUAGGAAACCUCACCUUUUUAUAGUAGAACCUUCACCGCCUUGCAAAAUCAGAACUCUCAAUGAAUAUAGAGCGUGGGAGAUAGAUUAAUGGAGGGUUUAAAGAGGCUUAUUCGGUAACUGGUAUCCUUUCGUACUGUGAUGAAGCAGAUGAAAGAAAUAUAGCUUGUGAAUCCGUAAUCGCCAUGAGCUCUGGAGAGGCGAAGAAGAAGAACACGGGUGGAACCCUAAACGACGAUGCGACAUUUCACCUGGUGGAGAUGAUAAAUGGGCUGGGCUCGAAGAAGUUAAAACAAAGCAGGGCCAGAACAAACGAACUGCACAUAGCGCGGAUCAAAGAAGACACGUGUCACUGCAAGAAGAAUCCAUUUGAUGACGUGGCACCCUAAGUAGAAAUAAAACUCUUAUAUAUAUAUAGAUAGAUAGAUAGGUAGAUGAAUUUGUGUUUUUGUUUUUUCUAUUGUUCGUUAGUUUAACUUUAAAUAAAUAUUUUUGCUUUCUUUUUAUUUUUCACUAACUUUUUAUUUAACAUAUUUUCUAGUUUUUAAUGAAAUGCAUUUUUAUUUCAGAUAAAUUUUAUUAUUAUAUUCAUAAUUCUCUUUAUCUAUACUAUUAAAUAGGAGUGUUCAAUCCGGAUAUCGGUUCGGUUUCGGUUCGGUUUUUUUCGGUUUUCGGUAUUUCGGUUAGUAAAAUAUAACUACCAUUCUAAAUCCAUAUUUACUUCGAUUCGGUUCGGUUUAUAUACCGUCGGUUUUCGGUUUAUUCGGUUUUAUACCAAAAAACAUAAUUAUUUUGUUUGAGAUUAUAUUAUAUGAAUUUUAGAGUCAUAUUGUCAACACAGUCAUUUAUUAAAAAUAUAUUACAUGUUCAAAUAAAUGAACAAAAAAAGUAAAAAUGCUUCUACCAUCAAAUAAAAUAAUCAAAUCUAUAACUAAAAUCAAAGCUUGAAAUAUUAAAAAUAAAAAUAUGAAACAAAACAGAAACAUGAAAGAAAAGUUUUUCCACUCUUCCAUAUUUAGUGUUAAUUAAAGUCAUGCUUUUUCAAUUGAAAAUUUUCCAUUAAUUAUUGUCCAUCAAAUUUAUAAUCUUCAUAUUAAUUUAGUGAAGACUAAAAUAAAUCAAAAAGAUCAAAAAAAGACUUAGAAAAUAAGAUGUCUGAAUUGCGAUGUAUUGUUAUUUAGUUAUAGUUCAAGUGUUUUACAAAUUAAGGUUUUUUAUUACUAUAAAAUUAUGGUAAUAGUUAUUAACACAAAUUUAACUUAUGUAACAAAUAGAUUUUCAUGUAUUGUUAUAAAAUAGAUACAUAUUUACAUGUUUCUACUUUUAAUCGGUUUUGUUCGGUUUAUUCGGUUUAAUCGGUUAUAUACCAAACCAUAUCCAAAUCCUACGGUUUUUAUAAAAUUAUAUCCAUUCGGUUUAUAUGGUAUAUACCAAAACCAAACCAUAUUGUCUAUUUCGGUUCGGUUCGGUUCGGUACGGUUCGGUUUUACCAUAUUGAACAGCCCUACUAUUAAAUCAGGAUCCUAUUUUUAAAAUUACCUUAGCUUGCCCUUUCUUUACUAACAUUGCAUGUUUCAUUAAAGGCAAUCAAGUAAUAUUAAUAACACAUCUAUAUUGGGUCUUUUUUUUUGGAUCGAGCUCACAUCAGAUCUCUCUUAGGCCAUUUGGACCGAUUAAGAAAUCAGAUCCAAUUCUCACAUUUUUUUUUCCUUUGGACCAUUGAGUCCAAGUUUAAAUAAUUUUUUUUCAACUAUCCUUAAUUAUUUUUUUCUUUUCUUAAUAUAAUUUAAGCAUUCAUAAAAAAAUUAAAUUUUUUUCAUUGAAAAGUAUAAAUCUUUAUUAAAAGUAUAUAAUUUUUUAUUAAAAAAUUAACCACAUAAUAAAAUUAAUUUAUCAGAGUUAUACCAACUUAAUUCAUUUAAAAACUAAUGUUUAAUUUUUUUAACAUAAAUAGUCAUUUAAAAUGAAAUACGAUAAAUAAAGAUAAAAAGUUUAAGUCUUUUAUAAAAUAAAACACAAAUAUAUGAAAAUAUGACAUUUACUAAAUAUUUGUCAAUUAAAAAAAAUAAUAAUAAACAAGCGCUUUGAAAGCGCGGAUCAAAAUCUAGUAUUAAAUUAUAGUUACUUCCAUUCCAUUUCAUUCAUCUAAAAGGUUACCAUUUAUAUUUCAAAAUGUUUUUCAACGACUACUCAUUCCAUUUUAUAACUUCUCUCAUUCCAUUUUAUAACUUCUGUCAUUCCAUUUGUUGACAUUCCAUUUUCUUCAAUUCCUUUAAUUCAGAGUAUUCUUAAAUAGUAUACGGUAAUAUCUUAUUAGAUCAAACGUGAUAAACAUUUUAUUGGAACUUCAACAUCUAGUUUAUUAUUUUUCUCAAACGUAAAAAAAACAUGUAGUAAUUUCAGAAACCAUAUUGUGCGUGUGUGUACUAAAUUAUUAUUGGAAACAACAACAGAGAUUCUGAUCAGGUUCACCCGUUUUGUUCAAAUCCUUAAAUGGCUCAACGAAUUGUUCCCAUCACGUUUUCUAGCGACAUAGUGGUUGGAAGCUUCUGAAGUGGUUUCCCUGUACUUGGGAGGGUUUUCUUCUGACAAAAGCUCUUUGAUGGGUCCAUAUACUCUCGGACUUGUUGAAGGAGGAUGCACAAAGAAAGAUGCAAUCGAAGUGCGCGGCUCUUCACCUCCAUUUGCCAAAACUCUAUGCUCCACACUCACAAACUUGUCGUUCGUUAUAAGCUGCAAAAAAAAAAAAAUGAUGACCAUAUUUUCUUCCAUAUAGACCAUUUGAUUAUAAGUGUAAACAACAACUUGCCUGUAGUAGAUCACCAACGUUAAGGAUAAGAGCAUUCGGAUUAGGAGGAACAUCGAUCCAGUAUCCAUCAUGGAGAACUUGAAGUCCUCCAAUGUGGUCUUGAAGAAGUAUAGUGAUGAAAGAUCUGUCUGUAUGCUGAGUGGCGCCCAGCGUUAGGUCUGGCUCAGGACACGGCGGGUAACAAUGACAGAGCAUCAACAAACCUUUUGCACAAUCCAUUUCUUUGAGGUGGUUAGGAUUCAGGCCUAAGGAUUCUGAUAUAAGCUCAAAGAUUAACUCCCCAAACAUCAUUACUCUCUUUGAGUAGUCCAACAUGAUCUCCCUAAAAAAUUCACAUAAAAUAAACUCUCAAAACCCAUCAAACAAAAACUAAUGAAGUUAGUAUUAAUUUAAAACAAGAGAAGCCGUGUUCGUACCUACAAAUAUCUGGUAAGUCGUCGGUUUUGGGAACAUCAGGGAACAUAAAACAACUUAAGGUAUCUCUCCAGCUCGCAGCAGGAGAGUCAUAGAGAUCAGAGUUAGAGUUAUACUUAAUCGCUUUGGUUUUUUCACGGCUAUAGAACCUUUUCCUCGCUUCUGGAUCUUGCGCGUGAAACGCACGGAUCCCUUCUUUUAUCUUCUCCAUGACCUCGAGAGGAAUCCCAUGGUUAAUCGCCUGGAAAAAACCGAACUUCUCCAUAGCGUCUUUAACCUUCUCAGUCACUUCCUUUCUUGUGACCGUGGACUCGAACACGCCACCUCGGAGAUCUAUCGUAGGGAUAGUCAACGUAGAAGGAGGUUUAGGGUUAGUUACCGUGGCUUGCGGGUUAUGGAAUAUGCGUGGGAUUUUUGUGAUUCCGGCGUCGACGAGACCCUUCACCCCGAUUUUCAUCUCGUCGAAUGCUUUUACCUCAUCCGCACGGUCAAAUGUUCCCGCCAUUGUGCACUUUGACUCCAACUUUUUUUUUCUGAGUGUUUUAUGAAACAGAGAAACUUGUGUUGUGUUUUGAGUCACGUAGCUCUGUCUCUAUAUAUAAGGAGGGAAAACUGGUGAAGGCAUGAAAUGGAGGGGAAAGAGAAGGAGAUAUAUUGAGAUACCGUCAGUAUUCUUAAUGUCAUAAAAUAUUAUCAAUUUUAUAUCAUAUUAUUAAAGUUAUUAUCAUGUCAUCGAGAUGUGUAUCUUUUAGGUUAUGAACGGAAACCAUAGUGCGGUGCAUAUUUGGAAUUGAUGUGAUUUUAAAAAUAUAAAUGUCAGCAGUAACAAGUAAAAAUGCAAUCUCAAGAAUGUUUUUUACAAAGUAAUGCAGUCACAAAAUAUUUUUGUCUGUUUAUUUCAUCCGAAUAACGCAACUUUCACACACUAUUACUUGUUAGCUAGUGUGGUACAGUGCUGUAUGUAUGUAUUUACUUAAAAUUAACUAUAAAAUAUUAUUAAAUUUAUAAAUAUUUUGAUUUUUGAUAAAAUCAUACAUGAUAAUUUUCAGUUAUGUAACUAUUCAAAACUAGUUAACUUAAAAGAUAAAAACAAUCAAGUUAUUAACUUAUUUUUAUAUUUUUCAUUUUUAACACUAAAAAAACUUAUUUUCAGAACAAUAAUCAAAUAGACAUAAUAACUGUAAUAUUUUUAUGAUAUUAACAUACUUUAAACAUGUAAUAUAUUUUAUGUCAUUUUUAUAUUUAGCAAUGAGAUUUUAACAUGGGUGAAUUUGCUAGAUAUUCAUAAGAGGAGUUAAAAUAAAAAAUAUAGCCAUCGCAACUGUAGCCUUGGUGGAUGGGACAAUUUACACACAAAUGAGACCGGUUUUUUCUUUAGAGCGCGUUUUAUGUUAAUUAACACGCGGCAAUAAACUCUGCCCAUGUGUGCUUUAUAGAUGUAUAGUCAAUCUCUUAAUUAGUUUAUUCUAUAAUCGUCUCUAAUAUAGUAAUGUGGUGAUAUAUUGUGAUGGUCGCUUAAUUUGACUGCAUGAAGAAUAUAAGCAUUUUAGGAGAUGAACUUGUUGUCUUUGAGAAAGACACAAUAAAUAUUAAUGUCAAAGCGCCAUCUAAAUCGUUACCUACUAAUGAGAGUAAAAGAAAGUGGGCAAGAAAGGAAAAUUUAAAACCUAAUGAAAUAAAGAUUUCAUACUUGUAAAUGUUGGUUAAAGUGAAGAUGAACAAAGAAAACAAUGUGUAACCGGUGAAGCAAACAAAUAUGGGAGGCAUACAGAGUUUAGUAGACCAGUUAAUGUUAAGCGACAUAGUAGAAAAUACAACAUAAAGAAUACAGUUACAACAUUUCUCGAAGCCAUUGCGGUUGAGAUGCCAACGGUGCAAGUUGUGCAAGGUUGAAGGUUGAGAACGCUUCCACUGUAUACAAACACUCCGGCAAUCCUAACUCCUCCAUCAUAGACAUGGAAAGAAAAUAUUCAAGUCAGUACAAAGGCAUAUACAAGUAAAAACGCUAGACAUUUGUUUACCACUAUAUUAUACAAAAACACUGAAGCAAGACAUGUGAUAUAAAAUAUAAUAUACCAUUAACACAUAUGGAAUAUAGUAAGACUAUCUACUAUACAACAUACUUUCAAAACAAGACGCAACCAUAUGGUGUAAAAUAUAAUACGAACAGUUUACAUAUGUUGUAAGCGAAGAAUUAACGCCAUUAAUCACAGGGAUACAUGAGGAUUUGUAUAGGGCAGUCUAUGUUUGUAGAUUGAACUAUUUCAUCUUAACCUUGUAACUAAACUAUUAUAAUCUCUAGAUUAUUCUAGUCAUAUUACUUCAUACAUCACUUUCUCCCACACCCGAUCCCAGAAACUCAUGUUGGACAACAGACGAAGACAACACAGAUAUAGACAAGGAGAGCUCCAAGGACCCAAAUAAGAAAAUCAUAACUGAGUUUGGAAAAGAAAAUAAUUCAUGUCACUUUACCUUUUUCAUUGCCCGCUGGGAACCCCUUUCAACCAGAUCUGAAAAAUUAACAGAGGUUCCUAUGUAAGUUUGUUUAAUACACGGCAGGAUGGCUUCGAGAUCAAUCAAACUGGACGUACCUUGAUUCGAUGUUUUUUGUUAGAAACUCGCGCCGCCGUGAAAUUAACCUAACUUUUCGUAGCCCACUUCUGUCGGUAUGACGCACACGUUGUCACAGAGUAAAAGUUUUGUGCUUCUCCAUCUCUGAUGCACACUUGAUCCCUCCAAAUCGUGUUCUUAGGGCGAAGCAACAGCAAAAAACUUCAGUUUCUAAGGUAAAUAUGAGUUAAGACACGUCUUUCAUUUCCACUCGCAGCAGGUAAGGGUAAUUUUGGCACUUUACAUGAUAUUAUAUAACAUAUCGUACCCUCUUAAUUGUUAUGUGCAUUGCGUUAAUUUUUUUUUUAUUAUGUACAUGAGUCCAAAUUUCCCUUUUAAUAUCAGAUUCUAAAAGCACUCGCAUCAGUGUUUUUUAGAAGAGUCUGUUGGUACAAAAAUUAAUAAAAAACUAAAGAGUAGGAGAGAGAAACAUCAAAAGGUAAAGAAUCUGUGCAAGAAAAGACUACACAAUUCUUAAGAAACUAUAGUAUCAAUGUGUCUUCUUUUAAUUUAUCUAACUUUAUUUUACACUUUAAAAAUAAUAAUAAGUCAAAUUAUUAAUAUAAUAAUAUGAGAGGCUUAGAUAAUGAUUGGUUGGGUUUUAACUUAGGAUUUUGGCUUUAUUUAUUUUUAAAGCACUAAUCAUAACUAGUUAUGAUGUAACUUUAUUUUUAAAGUUAAUGUCUUGCUAUAACGUCUAUAGCCUUUUUCUAUCUUUUUUUUUUUCUUAAAACAACUAUUACAGUGUUUUAGAAAUUGUAAUAUUUAUCUACAGCAGAAAAAAUAAAACUACAACCAUAAAAGCUACAUCAUAAAUUAUACAUCUACAAUUCUAUAUGUAUAGUUCAACCAAUCAUCUCAUUAGUUUUGAGAAAUCGACUACAAAUGAUGCUCUAAGGGCGCCCAGCAGAGACCCACUAAAAUCUCUCACACAAAACUAACUAUGAGCAAAAAAACAGUAACUAAUAGUAUAAUAGUAAACUGAGAAAUGGCACAUAGUUUGCUACAAUUCUAGCAUUUUCUUCACGAAGAGACGAUCCGUGUGCCUCUCUACUAUUUCUCUUUCCUUUUUCAUAUUCUUUUAUUAUUUAAUGUACAAAAAACAUUUUAAUCAAUUCUGAUAGUCUAAGAGAACCUCCAAUAAAGGUUUUUAAGACAAGUUUUUAAAAUUAAAAAUAAUUAAAAAUGUAAAGAAGUAAGAGAAGUGUCAAAUGAGUUCUAAACUCCUAUAUUUUUAGAACUUAUAAAAAUUCACACAUCCAUGUGCCACUUUUAUACUAGUUUAAUUUUAAAAUGGUAAAUAAAAAUAAUUACUUAAAUUAAUUGUAAUAAAAUAUUAAUGAUUUGUGUUUUUGAUAUUUAAUGGAAUUCUAAUUGUUGCGGAUGCUCUAAGAGCAUUAGCAUUAAUGGUAUCUGAUGUAGUAUCUUAGCGUAUAAUAAUGUAAGUAAGUGAGAGAUAUGGUAAAAGACGUCUCUCGAGAAGAAAUUCACCAAAAUCGAAGAGAAACUAUGUUGCUAGAUCCUAAAUCAACUUGCUUAACUUUCUUUCUUUUAAAAAUUAAUAGAACAAUAAAUGUAUAUUAUUACUGUGUUGGGAAAAUUCUACGUACCAAUGUUGUUGCUCUAAGUUUUCUAUUGAACUAGGAUAACUGGAUAAGAUCUUGCGCAAAGUGAGUUAAUUUGUAUAUAUUAUCAACAAUUUUUUUUAUAUAUUUGAUUAUUUUAUUUAAACAUAUAUGUAUAUAUUUUUGUUAUUAUUAUAUACUUUCUUUCUGAUUGACCGUGUCAAUUUUUAUUAAAAAUUGUAGAACUAAACUAUCAUUAAUAUAUCGUAGGUUGAUCAAAUUGGACAUUAAACAAAUUAUGACACAAAAACCUUAUUUUUUCCACCGAAUUCAUUCUUGAAAAAAGUGAACAGUGCUGUUUCCACAGUUGAAUUAUUUUGACAAUUAUCUUUUAUAUGGUUUUGAAAGAUUUCAGAUCAACCAUCGAACUAAUACAUGUCAUUUUAAUGUUUUUAGUCGUAUGCUUAAGAAAAACUUACAUUUUUUUAAUUUAAAGUCAUUUUAAAAAAAUCAAAAUAUAACAUAUAAGGUUACCUCAUUUUUGUAAUUUAAAGUCGUUUUUAAAAAUUUUAAAUAUAACAUAUAAUGUUUCCUCAUUUUUUUGUAAUUGAAAGUCAUUUUAAAAAAUUCAAAAUAUAACAUAUAAGCAAAUCUAUUUUUAAUAAUAUAAAAUUAAAAAAAAAUGAAAAAUGAUGCAAAAAUUGUUAUCAAAUCUGUAUUAUUCAUAGUCAUUAAUUACCAUAUAUAUUAAUCAUAUUAGAUAAUUUCGUAGCUUUUAUUUAAGGAAAAAAUACACGCUUCUUAUAUUUUGGGUUAAUAUAAAUGUUCCCUAGUAAUUAGAUUUCGACAAACAUUUUUUCCAAUUGAUUCUUAAGUUGUCACGUUAGCUAAAUUGACAUAUCAUAAUUAAGUGACAUCUAAGCAUAAUCUCUUUUUAAUUAGUACAAACUUAAGAUUACAACUUUUUAAAUGAUCAUCAAUUAAUAUAUAGAUGAUUACAUAGUAAUCAAUUUAGUAAUAAAAUCUUUGUAAUAUCUAACAAAAAUAAAUGUUAUGCAUACAUCGUAAGAAGGAACAACAAGAGAGUGAUAUAUCAAUAUUCUUUUUGAAAACUUCUCACAUGGUAAUAGAGGGGAUUAAAUAAGAGAUGGUCAUAUCUUAUUAGAUCAAACGUGAAAUAAACACUUUAUUGGAGGGACAACAUGUAGUUUAUUCUUUUUCUCAUACGUAAAAACAAAACAUGCAGUAAUUUCGGAAACCAUAUUGUGCAUGUGUGUGCACUAAUGUUUUAUUGGAAACACAAAGGAAACAACAACAGAGAUUCAGAUUAGAUUCACCCAUUUUGUUCAGAUCCUUAAAUGGCUCAACGAAUUGUUCCCAUCACGUUUUCUAGCCACAUAGUGGUUAGAGGCUUCCGGAGUGGUUUCCCUGUACUUGGGAGGGUUUUCUUCUGACAAAAGCUCUUUAAUGGGUCCAUAUACUCUAGGACUUGUUGAAGGAGGAUGCACAAAGAAAGAUGCAAUCGAAGUGCGCGGCUCUUCACCUCCAUUUGCCAAAACUCUAUGCUCCACACUCACAAACUUGUCAUUCGUUAUAAGCUGAAAAAAAGACCUUGAUUGGUGAACACCAAAUGAAUGGAAAAAAUUAACAAAAUGAAAAAAUAAUUUCAUUCGACGAACUGAAAAAUAAAAAGUAUAUAUUUUUGUUCAUUUUGUUUCUCAUCAAGAGUUGCAGAUGAAAAAUUUAAAGGAAAAGAGUGGGUUUCGCUUAUCAAUAAUUUGACCAGAAAUUUAACAUAACUGGUAUAAAUGUUAAAGAGCAAAGAAUUCACUAUAAUUUUUUUCAUUCGACAUGGUCAUCAAUUGGAACCUACGAAGACCGUGUUUUCUUACUUAUGGACCGUUUGAUUAUGCGUAGACAACAACUUGCCUGUAGUAGAUCACCAACAUUAAGGAUAAGAGCAUUCGGAUUAGGAGGAACAUCGAUCCAGUAUCCAUCAUGGAGAACUUGAAGUCCUCCAAUGUGGUCUUGAAGAAGAAUAGUGAUGAAAGAUCUGUCUGUAUGCUGAGUGGCACCGAGUGUUCGGUCUGGCUCAGGACACGGCGGGUAGCAAUGACAAAGCAUCAACAAACCUUUUGCACAAUCCAUUUCUUUGAGGUGGUUAGGAUUCAGCCCUAAGGAUUCUGAUAUGAGCUCAAAGAUUAACUCCCCAAACAUCAUCAUUCUCUUUGAGUAGUCCAACAUGAUCUCCCUGAAACAUUCAACAUAAAUAAACUCUCAAAACCCAUUAAAAAAGACACUAAUUAAUUAAGUUAGUACAUAGAUUAAUUUAAAACAAGAGAAGCCGUGUUCGUACCUACAAAUAUCUGGUAAAUCGUCGGUUUUGGGAACAUCAGGGAACAUAAAACAACUUAAGGUAUCUCUCCAGCUCGCAGCAGGAGAGUCAUAGAGAUCAGAGUUAGAGUUAUACUUAAUCGCUUUGGUUUUUUCACGGCUAUAGAACCUUUUCCUCGCUUCUGGAUCUUGCGCGUGAAACGCACGGAUCCCAUCUUUCAUCUUCUCCAUGACCUCGAGUGGAAUCCCAUGGUUUAUCGCCUGGAAGAAACCGAACUUCUCCAUGGCGUCUUUAACCUUCUCAGUCACUUCCUUUCUUUUGACCGUGGACUCGAACACGCCACCUCCCAUAUCUAUUGUUGGGAUAGUCAACGUAGAAGGAGGCUUAGGGUUAGUUACCGUGGCUUGCGGGUUAUGGAAUAUGAGUGGGAUUUUUUUUAUUCCAGCGUCGACGAGACCCUUCACGCCGAUUUUCAUCUCGUCGAAUGCUUUUACUUCAUCGGCACGGUCAAAUGUUCCCGACAUUGUAUGCUUCCUUCUUUAUUUUCUUGAGUGUUUAUUUUGUUGUGUCUUGAGUCACCUAACUCUGUCACUAUAUAUAAGGAGGAAUACGGGUGAAAGCAUGAAAUACAGGCCAAAGAGAAGGACUGCCGUGUAAUUAAUCAAUUUAAAUAGAAACUUUUAGAAGUUAAAUGGUUCAUUUUGCAAUUUCUUAAAUAUUAAUGGAGGAAUCUUAAAAUGGUGCCGUUAAGCGUGUAAACUAUUAAAUAAUAUUCUCCAGGAAACUAUUAAAUAGUAUCGUAAUUAUUAUUGAUAAUAUUAUAAACUUACGGACAAAACAAAUAAUAAAAUAAAAUAUUCAGUAGUUUUAUUUGUAUUUUAUAUAUUUUCAAUGUUUCUAAUGAGAAAUCACAUAUAUAUUUUUUUGGUAAAAUCAUCCAUAUAUAUAUGGUAAAAUUCUAAGAAUAUAUUUCAUUAUUAUAUUUGCAUUUUCUAAAUUAAAUUAUUUUAUAUACAGUUUAUACUUUUUGAUUUUAUUUUCAAAAUAUUGUAUAUACAUGAUACUAUAAUUCCCUAGAGUAUAUUUGCGAAAUGAUUUAUACACACGUCGUCACUACAAUUAUUCUUGCUGAAAAAAUAUGAUAUGGCACUUAAAAUAGAUGACAUGUUUUUAGAAAAUAGUGACAUGACAUCAUAUUAAUUGUGAGAUUUAAAAUUUCCUUAUAAAAAUUUAAAUUUUUUUGCAGGGAUUUUAAAUAUAGUAAUAAAAAUAACUCAUAUAUCAUCAAUAAUGUCAAUUUUCCUUAUAAAUAUUUAUUUAUGGUAAACUAUUAAAUAUAUUAAUAAUUCAUAUAUCACAAUUAAAAUAAUAAUAUAUAUGUAUAUAUGUAUACAAAUUAAUAAAAAUAAACUAAAUAAAGUAACACUAAUCCAAAAACAAUUUGAUAGUUAAAUAUGUAAACAUUAUUUAAAUUUAUCUGUCAUCUUCAUCUGUUCAUCUUCAUCAUUUAAUUAAAUUAACAAAAAAAAAUUUCAGUUUAACUAAAACAAACAAAGUCUCAAAUUUAUCAGAAUUUAUAUUUAUAUGUGUAUAUAUAUAUUCUUGUUCAAAAACUCGGCCGCGUAACCGAUUUUGCGGCCGGUUAAACGCUAUACGUAUGGUGAGCGCGGCGAUUAAGAUCGAUUCGGUUGGUGUUGAACAGUAACACGAGUAAUUCCGGCUUGGAGCGUAGAAUUAGAGAACGCGGGCGUCGAAUUGACAAAACCUCGUUUUGUCCAAAUCAUGAAACAUUAGAAAAAAAACUCAGAUUUUGUUAAUAUUGUAUUGGAAACACAAGAAUAGUAUGUGUUUUAUUAUGUAAGUGCUAAAUCUAAGGGAUUACGUGAUGAAAUCAUCGAAAGCUCGAGUAAAAACAAUGGCGGCCGCAUACUGAAAAAAAAAAAAAGGUCUGGGAAGAAGACGAGUACAAAUUACAACUUCAUCCCUAUUAAAAUAAAUGAGUAAUAAAAUAAUACAGUGUAAGACACGAGAGUCGAACUGUGCUCUACGUUAAGUGUACUGUGCAGAGUUACCACUUCACCUGUGAAGAAUCAUCCUGUAUUCUAGAAACUGUAUGUAUAUAAUUACAUUUGUAAAUUUUUAAUCCACCUUAAAGUGUGUCGACCUUCCCUUGCUUAGUUACAAUGAGGCAAUAACCACUUUAGUAACGUAAAUUCAUUAAAUAUGUAUGAAACCAUAAAUAUAUAGCAACUACAAUUUAAAAUGUUAACUUCUAGUUAUAAUAGGUGGUAUUAUACGUAUAAAGUACGCAAAAUUCCUCCCCGCGUACUCCCCGAUUUUUUUCCGCUUUUUCAAUAAAUCGCUAGGCCCUAGUGCGCCGCACGCGUAGCGCCUAGCGAGUUUUCGAACAAGGAUAUAUAUGUAUAUUGAAAAUUAAAUGGGAAGAUAUAUAUAUAUUUAUAUAUUUAAAAUAAAUAAUCAUUAAACACUAUAAUAUAAUUAAAACUAUUUUAUAAAAUCUAAUUUUCUUUUUAUUAAAAUUUAAAUAAAAUCAAAUUUAAAUAGUCAUACCAAAUCAAAAGAAAUAAGAUUACAAAAAUACGUUUAUGAUUUUUUAUAACAAUUGAAGUUAAAAUAUAAAUUAAUAAUGUUGAAAUAUCAAUCAAAAUUUUCUUUUGAAAUAAAAAAUUUUAUGUUAAAAUUUACUAUUUAUGCGCAGGAAAACUCUUAGUUAAGAUAUAAAAUACCAUAAUAUAAAUGAUCAUAUGUAAAUAAAAAUUGUUUUAUAUUAUAGUAUUUAUUGUAUUUUAAAAUAUGCAAAUAAACUUUUACUGAAAAAUAAUAUGUGCUUUUUAUUUGUAAAAUUUAUCUAUUUUGCAAAAAUAUAUUUCAAACAGAAUGAUACUGAUUUAAGUAAACUGUUUCCUUGUCAUAUUAUAUAUAAAUAAUAUAAUAUUAUAUUCAAAGGUUAUUACAUAAUAUUAAAACUAUUGUAACAUGAUCGAUAUAUUAUUGAUAUUUACAUUUUAACAAAAAAAGAAUUAUACAUUUUAAUAAUUUUUAUGACAUAUCAAAGAUAAAAAUUAUAUAAAUAUUUCUACAUUUUGUUGAUAUUUAUAUACAUAAAUUCUAUAUUUAAGUGAUAAACCUAAUCAAAUUUCUAAAUUAUUUAAUGUAUUUAAAAUUUCGUUACAAUAAAAUAAUUUAAUUGAGUAGUUGGCAUUCGACUCAUUAGGUAUAAUAAAAAACUUUAUAACUUAACUAUUUUAAACUAAAACCCACAAAAGUAUUAAAUUUUAUUUUAAGAAGAAACCAAAUUGUAUAAAAUUAUUAUUUCAAAAUUAAAAAAUUAGUUUUAGUAAAUUAAAAUAAUUUCAUACAAUUGAAAAAUAAAUUAAAUAAAAACAACAACUGAUAACAUAUUACUUUUAAAAUUAAUAAAUUUACAAGUAAGUGUAAUAAAAUUAUAAUUUAAAAAAUAAACAGUUAAUAUUUCUGCAUAUGGCCUAGAAAACGGUAAGUUUUCUUUGUAAAGCUAAUGGUAAAAUUAAAAAAAAAAUACUAUUGAUUUUUUUUGGUUGACGCCUUAUGUUUUCCUAAUUAAACCUCAUUUUAAAAAGAAUAUGAGUACGUGGUAUCUACUUUAUAUAAAAAUAAAAGUGGAUUGGUUUGUUUAUUUAAAUUAUUAAAUAGUAAUUGAUUAUUGGCACAUGUCAAAGUUUAUUUGUUUUUAUAGUAUUGGCAGGAAACGGAAACGAAUAUGCGAAAAUCGAAACAUCUUGUAACGUGGAAAGUGAUUUUUUAAAAAAUAUAUAUUUGUAGAUGUAUGUGAUUAAUUAACAUGUAAGCUUAACUUGUUUUUGUUUGUUUGAUAUAUUUAAGAGAGAAAAAAAACUAAGUAAUAGAAAUGUUGUUUUUGUACAUUUUGUAAACUUUUUAAUCAAAAAUACAAAAUUUUAAAAAUGUUAUCCUUUGGUAAAACAAUGUAGUAAUUUUUAUUUAAAGUCAAAUCAUUAUACGAAAAUGACAAAAUAUCAAAAAGUGAUAAUAAAGUACAAAUCAACAAAUAGUCAUUUUAUGAUAAAUAUACAAAAAUUAUAUUAAACUGGCAAUAAUUAAUAUCAAUUGAUAAAUAGUCAUUUUUCGUGUUUUCAAAUCUGAAUCACGAGUUUCUAAAAAUAGAAACAAAAACUUUCAUUGUGUUUCGAAGAUGGGAUUUUCAAGAAAAUCGAUUACAAUGGCAUAAAUUGUAAUUUUUUGUAAACCUAAGGGCUCUAAAAAAUAUUAAAAAUAUUAAUUUAUGUUUUUGUUGGCACCUUAUAUGGUACCAAAUUAAACUUCUUUUUAAAAAGAAUAUGAGUACGUGGUAUCUAUAUUAUACAAAAACAAAAGUGGGAUUGUUUUGCUUAUUUAAACUAUUAAAAAAGUAAUUGAUUAUUGGCACAUGUCAAAAUUGUUUUUUAAUUUUAUAUUGUUAAGAUUUAAACUUUAACUCCGUAAUUCAGGUUACUUUUUUUUUUGAACAACUUAAUUCAGGUUGCUAAGAGGAUAAGUAGAAGUUUAUGGGCGAAAUUGCAUUACCAAAGUGAAAAAAUUAUUAAAAAGGUCGAGUGAUGUUUAGACGUCUACUUAAUCUUCAAGUUCCUAAUCGGUUUUGCUUACCAAAAAAAAAAAGUUCCUAAUCGGUUUUUAAAUUCUUUGAGGAACAAGAUAAGGCCACUGACGACUAAAAUGAAAGACUUAAUGUAUCCAUUGCAAACUUAACUCAUCAAAUCGAAAUGGUGACUCAGUAAAAAAAAAAUCGAAAUGGUGACUAUCGAUCAAACAAGAAAUGGUAAGUAUGGAUCAAAGAAGGUAUAUGUACAAGAUUCCAUGAUGAACACCAAAAAGAGAUACUAAGACUGAAGAGUCGAUGACUUCUAUACCCAGGGUUGUGGACAAGAUUCCAUGACUUUUACACAUGGGUGCAAUAGUAAAAAUAGUCCUAUAUGGACAAGAGUCGAUGACUUCUGCAUCCAUAUCUAAAAAUAGUAAAAAUUCUACAUUAAAAAUUUUGUGAUUAAUAGUUUAACUUUUUUUUUUGUUCUAGCAAGAUACAAAUGAUCAUAUAUCGUAAAGGUAGAUACACGUUCGGGUUCAUAACAGAUAUUUCAGUAUAAAGUUAUAGAACCCAUUAGGGUAUUUCUACAUUUCGAGUCGAGUUCGGAUAUUUAAAUUUUGAAUAAAAAAUAAAUAAAGUAUUCAUUGUAUAAGUUUUUUGUAUUUAAAAUAUAUUUUAACUUAACUGGUUUCUAAUUUUUAAAAGACUUAACUAUUAAUAGGUUAGAAAGACACUAAUUUAGUUGUUUUUGAAAUUUUAGAUGCAACUUUUGUCAAUGUAAGAAACAAGAGCUUGAUAUGUAUUUUAAGUGAGUAAUAAAUGAUUUUAUCCAUAAUUAUAUGUGUAUAAUCUAAUUUUAAGCAAUAAGCAUCAUUAAUUUAAAUAUUUUGAAUAAAAUGAGAGAAGUAAACUAGAAAUAUAGGGUUAAGUAUACUUAUGUUUGGUUAUCUUCGGAUAUCCAUUCGGGUUUGGAUAUUACCCGUUCGGAUUCAGAUAUUACUCGAACUAUUGAAAUAAGUAAUUUGUUUUGUUGUUCUUAAAUUAGAUGAUUUUUAUACCGAGCUGGUGAAUAUAUACUUGACAGACAUUUUUAUUUCGAAUAUGCACUUAUAUUUAAUAACAGCUUGAUAUAUUAGAUUUUAAUACUAACCUGUUAAUAUAGUUUUCCGGUGUUUUUUUCAAAAUUUUGAGUUUUAGAUAUGUAUCUGGAGUGAAAAUAAUUUUUACAGAUGUCUAUUUUUUUUAAACUGACACUUAUGUAAUUCACCAAAUUCAUAAAAGUUAAAAAAAAAAAAAACUUAACUCAUAUCAAUGAAACAAUGACAUGAACGAAAGCAAAAUUUUAUAGAUGUAGAAAAUGAAUCACUUAUGGAGAGUCAAUAGUAAACAAAUCGAGAGUAUAAAACCUAAUCUCAUUUUUUCAUUAUACAAUUGAUGUUGCCUAUUUGGUUUUGGUGAUUUGUGUCAGCCAAAAACUUAAUUUCUUUUGUGAAUAUGAAGUCUUAAAAAUAAUUAAAAUGAGACGAAAUAUGUUAAUUAUUUAACAAUGAUGAUAUAUUUAAGAGACCAAUAUUUAUAUUUGUCAUUAUAUAAUCAAUAAAAAUUAUAGUGUUACAAAAUAUUAAAAUUAUUUAAUAAAUAAACAUUAUUAUCAAAACGUUAUCAUCUAAGUCUACUUUUAAUAUCAAAUCAUGAUCAACUAGGACAGAAUAAAGCAUUGGAUUCUAUUAAAAAAAAUAAUACUUUUGUAGUGUACAAAAUAAAACUUUUUGUCGCUGACUAGAAACAUUUUGUCCACCCACAUGGAUGCCUGUCAUACGCUGAAAAUUUUAACAUUAUUUCCCUAUAUAAGUUUAUAAACUUAUAGUAUUCAUCAAUAUGUAUAAUAUAUUUUUUAAUUAUAAACUCUUACCGAUUAAUACCAGUCAUGUUUGUUAACCAUGAUGCAUAAGUCGUUCAAAUAUGGUUAAAUGCUAACAAAAUGAGAUCUGAUUCAAGAUCAGGGGCGGAUCUAAAAAUAUAUUUUAUGUGUGGCACAAUAUAAUUUACAUAUAAUUUAUUUAAAAUAAUUUCACAGUUUAUAUUAUAUUAUUAUAUAAUUAAUAUAUGAUUACAAUUAAUAUUUUUUCUUAUUAUAUAUUCUCUCCAUUUUUAAAAGAGAAAUGCUUUAUAAAAAAGUUUAAAUAUAUAUUUUAUAUUUUGAAUAUAAUUUAUAUGAGCUAACAAUAACAAACUAUCAACUCUGAAAAUAUAGUUUUGAAUUACUGGUUUAAAAUUAUGAAAAUAGUUAAUCAUAGAAAAUAAUUUAUUAUUAUCAUUUUUAAUAGCCCAAAGGAAAAGAAAUUAGAAAUAGAGUAAAUAGAAAAUAUAAACUUUAAAAUUAUAAUAGAUUGAUAUUUACACAACAAAACUGAACAAACUAGAUAUAUAUAUAACUAGUUAAACAAAAUUGAAAGGAACAAAAAUAAUAAAAGGUAUAACAUGAGAACAAAGAAUAAAUAUGAGACUGUUGUUUAACAAAUAAAAUAACUAACUACGAGACACGUUAAGUUUGAUAUUAAAAAAAAAUAUAUAUAUGGACCAAUAUUUUACCAAAAGAAAAGAAGGGCGAAAAUUUGGUCGAACUUGAGAGCGUGUGACGAUACCAUUGAUCCAAUUUAACCAAUAAUGCUAGAUUCACGUACUCAAAUUUAUGCUACAAACAAAAAUUAUGAAGUUAGUAUGGGGCACGUGCCCCACCCUCUAUGUAAGUAGAUCCGCUUCUGUUCAAGAUGAAUAGAAGAACUAUCAUCUAAUAGAAAAGCAUGUGAAUUCUCACCGUGGCGGGCUCGUUACUAUAAGAAUCGAAUGGUAACGUUGUUUUGAAAGUAUAAUAAACAGUGCAAAAUAAACUUGCAAUAUGAUACAAUUGUGGUUCAUGUAUUAUGCGGUAUCAGUGUGAUUUGAUAAAAAUAAAAAAGUAAAACGGUUUUGAAAAAAAUAGUGUGAUUUUGAUAGAAAAUAAUGUAAAAUAAAUUAUCUAUGAAAAAAUAUUAGAAAUUAGCUAAACAUAUUUACUAAAAAUUAUUUAUUUAAAUAUAUGAUACAAAUAAAAUGUGUUUAUCAGCAAAAACUUUAAAUGUCUUACCCAUAUUUUUAAUUUUAACUUCUUAUUUCUUAGUUAAAAGUUAAUGGUGAUAUGAUUAAGUUUUGAACAUACUUAUAAAAAUAUACAAAAAAAAUUCCGAUUUUCCAAAUCCCAUAGGAUUUAGUUAUUUAUAUAUACUUAAUUUACAUAUCAAACUUUUAAAAUUUAAUGUUAGUUUUUAAUAUUAGACAUUGUAAAAUAAUAAAAUUGGAUCAUUAUAAAAAUAUUAAUUUCAAUUGAUUUUACACUUAAAGAAAAGAAUAGGGAAAACAAAAAAAUUUAUGAUCAGUUGUAGAAAACAAAGGUAUAUAGAAUUUGAGUUCGAGCAGUUAUAUAAAUUUUAUUAUUUUAAAACAUAAUUUGUAUUGGGACAAAUCUCUUAAAUAGUCUUUUUAAGUUUUUGUCACCAAAAUAAUCUUUAAAAAAGAAAAUGAUCAAAAUAGUCCUUUUUAUUUUAAAAUUUUAAUAUUAAUUUUUCAUUUUUUUUUAAAUUUGAAAUCCCACCAUCAAAAUUCCACCAUUUAACUCUAAACCCUAAGUCUAGAAGUUAAUCAUAGGGUAUAAAUGUAUAUUUAUCCUUAAAUAAAAUUUAUUUUGAUCAUGUUUUUCAUUAAGAGCUAUUUUGUGAAAAUAAACUAAAAAGUGAUAUUUUAGGAAUUUUUUCUUUUUACUGUAUGCAUUGUUUUUUUCUCUCGCCCAUUUAAAAUUCAUAUGCAUUAGACCUGUUUUGAAAAACGUGUUCGGUUUUAUUUUUUAAUUUUUUUGUAAAACACUAAUUUUUUGAUGGUGAAAAAUGCGAUUUUCGAUAUUAUUUUUUAAGUCUCCACUAUACUAGUGCACCAGUCAAUAGUCAAUACCUAAAAGGGCUUUUGGGAAUAUGAUGGGAAUCAUAUUCCAUCUAGCAUUUUAAAAAUUUAAGCCUAGACAGUUCUAAACGGGUUUAAAUUACUAGUUUACACAUGUAUAACAAAAGUUACAAGAGUCCUUAAAUCGUUUAAUCAAAUAUGGUCGAUGAAAUUGACAAAAAACGUUAGACCAAAGAAAGACAAAAACUCGAAUCAAGGUAAAAUGUUAUUAAAAGCCCAACGCCAAUAUUGGUUACAAGUGGAUAUACUAAAUGCAUUACAACAUUACAUUAUACCCAAAACUGGCCCAAGAAUACAGAGGGCUCUCGACGUGUAGCGUAACAGGUGAGAAGCUUGAAGGUCGCCGGAAACGUAAUCUCCUAUCAUAACCGACCGGAAUAAAAGAUCUUGCGAUUUCCGGAACCAGCACCAACUCCCUAAGUAUUAAAAGAUCUACCUAAUCCAAUGUCAAUAUUAAAAAAUACAUCAAUAUAUUAGAAUAGAAAAUUUAUCUAUUAUAUAUUGUUUCGUAUUAGUUUAAUAAAUUAAGUUGAUUUAUCUUCUAUAUAAACUAUGUAUUUUUUAAUAUUAUUUUCAUGAAAAUCUAAUAAUAUUAUUUUUAAACAUUUUUGUGUGAUUUAUUCUCAUCAAUUUGUCAUAGUAUCAGAACAAAAACAAAACUAAAAAAUCAAAUACUUCUAAAACUUUUAUUCUCGUGUUAUUGUAAAACAACAACGCUUCAUUCAUAACUUAUUUAUUCACGACUUAAAAAAGAAGGUUUUCAUUCAAUCAUAGUUUUGAUGUCUUUGCAAAAUUGCAAAUCAACAAACUUAUUUUCUAUUCAUUUGUUUCUCAAUUUGAAGCAAGAAAAAUUCAUUCUACAAUUCCAGCAUUCAUUCAUUAAUUUUCGUAUGGAUAUUAUUAGUUCAUGAAAGAUUCAGAUUUUUUUACGGCAGUCUACCGGUAGCCGAUUCAUCCUACCGUGAAGAUUGGACAGUAAGCAAUAAUCUCAUUGUAACAUGGAUAAAAUAAACAAUCAAACCAAAAAAUCAGAUUAUCUAUCUCAACUCGCGAAAUCGCAAAAGAGUUAUGAGACAUUCAUCAAGCUUCCGCAACAUUAACAACCAUCAUUAUUUCACAAGACUUUAAAUUAUUUUUACUACUACAUUUUGAAGAUUGUCCAAUCUCAUAUGUAUUGCCACAUACGAGCUUGAGGGAGGGAAUUUGAAAGAUCUAGAAGAUCGAACUAAUCCAAUGGUCAAUAUUAGGAUAUACCUCAAUAUAUUAAAAUAUAAAACUUAUCAUUAUCUAUUUAUAUAUUAUUUCAUAUUAGUUUGGAAAAUUAAGUUGAUUUAUUCUCUCUAUAAACUAUGCAUCUUGUAAUAUAAUUUUUAUGAGAGUCUAAUAAUAAAUAUUAUCCCUAAACACCUUUGUGUGAUUUACUCUCAUCAAUUUGUCACUAAGUUUUCAUGCGGUCUUUUUCUUAUAGAGAAAGCUCCCAUCUCUACUGAACCUGCACGAAAUCAACAAAGCAAUAUCGAGAAGAUUGAUUCCUCUAUCCAUUAAGGAUCCUUUGCAAAAGCGUAAUUAGAGACGCAAAGAUUGAUUCCAAUCUGGAUAGAGAGUCAACGGACUCAAAUUAGUGAACUAUGCAAAAAUAAUUGAUUAAUAAAUCAUAAGAAAACAAACAUGAUCAUCGUAAUUUUCUUAGAAUAUAUUUUUAAUGGCCAAUUUUUCCUUUUUUUGUCUACUUUACAAGUUUAAUGCUAAAGAAAAAUGUUUGAUUAUCAAGAUCUUUUAGAUAAAUAGCAUCAACAUGCUGUAACAUUAAUGACAUCCUAGCUAAAAUUGAAGACUACAAUUAUCCAUUUCUAUUGGUAUAUUUGGAAGGCAAAGAAUGACAAACUCUUUAAUGGACAAGUCAUAUCCCCAAUUGAACUCUCCAAGUUGCGUGCCUUGAAGCAAAAUGUUGGAAAAAGAUUAAUGAAAAGGAGGAAACUAAUGAGGAUAAUAAAGGCUCCCCUACUACAAAGGUUGAGACAGUGCCUCCUUGGAUACUUCGAAUCUCUACGGUCAAAUUAAUGCUUCAUGGAUCGAUAAUGGUAGUGUUAGUGGCCUAGAGUGGAGUCUAAAAGAUCAAAUGGGUACUGAAUCUCUCGGAUUACUGGCAUGCAACAGAAGCCUCUCAGCCUUACAUGCCGAGAUAGAAGGUUUAUUUUGAGUAGCUUCAUGCAUGAAAUACAUGAGGAUAACCUUGAUAUGUUUCGAGACGGAAUACUUGGACCUAUUGGACAUGACUACGAAUCUGAUGAACUGGCCACCAUUCGUAUCGAAAAUUGAUAUGUUCUAAAAAAAUACAUGAAGACUUUGAAGAUGUGAACAUAAUUCAUAUUCUUCAAAGUAGAAAUGGCCGGGCAGACUCAUUAGUGAAAGCAGAAAGGACCCGAUGCUAUAUUUUCUUCCAUAUAGAUCAGACAUGGACAGACAUAUGAGCUAUUCGGAGAAUCGACUCGUCUAAGUACAACUUGGUAUAGUAAAAUGGGUAGUUGACAAAAAAAUAAAAAGAGAAAAAAAUACUGAGCUUUGCAUUUUUUUUUAUAUUGUUUAGGGCUUUGCAUUUUUAUUCCUUUUGCAUCUUCUAACUCUAAAUGGCAGAAAAAGUAUAUAUUGUAGGCUUCUGAUCUCCAUCAUCUAAUUAAUCGAGUAAUCUAACAAGGUGCAAACACUUCCAGGCACAUCUUCACGUGACCCUGGAACUGCAUAUUACAAGUUGUAUAACAGGCAGUGCCGGUCCGGAGUUUUGCGGCGCCUAAAACGGUUUAAAAAAAUAUUGCCCCUCUUUUUCAAAAAAAUAAAAAUAUCUUUAAUUAUAAUUAAAUUAUAUAUUUUAACUACAUAAUCAAAAUAGAACCAAAUAUUAUUAAAAGUUAAGUUGUUUCUGAAAAAAUAAGAUACAAAAAAUCAAAACAUUAUUUGCAGUUCAUCUUGUCAUAUUUUUUUCAUUUUAUUUGCAGUUCUACUAGGCCGAUUUUUAAUUUAUUUUUAUAGCAUUUUUACAAAUUCAAAGAAACGCACGAACAAAAUUUAUAAUUUAUAGCUAGAUAGAGCACAACAUAUAAUAAAAUCACGCUAACAUCAAAUUCACCAUUUUUUCUUUUUUUUUUUGAAUUGAAUGUUAAAUUUAAUUCAAAGAAAAAACCCUAUUACAAAGUACCUUACUUUCUAUGAUUUCUAUACAAAUUGAAUAAAAAUCAAAGCAAAGAUCAAAUCAAAAAAAAAAACUCAUAAUUUGCUUCACUACUUCCACCAACUAUCUUCUCUCUACCUAGCUCUCACUCCUACUAGGUAACCAGCACUCACUCCUACUGGCUUUCCCAGCACUCACUCCUACUGGUCUCCCACCCAGCACUCACUCCUACUGGUCUCCCACCCUCAACUCAUCCUCCCUUGUAGCAAACCAAUAUUGCAACCCUGCGCCAAACUCUUUGUUACCUCUUCGCUGAAUCAAGUAGAGCUUAUUUCUCAUAUUCUUAUCAAGUAAUUUGAUCAAUAACCCAGCAGGUGCUUCAAUCUCUCCAUGUCUCCUUCUGUUUCUCUCUCUCCAGAUCAUAUACACAGCUGCUUGAAACAUAUAAUGAACAAUGAACUGGUGCAUUCUCCUCCUUUUGCUACGACGUAUAACACUCUGUAUCUCCCCCCAUUGCAAAGUAAACUUCUCUCUUAAUAUACCCUGCAUCAAAGCUUUCCAGAUCUGAGCCGAGUAACAUCAUCCAAAGAAUAGAUGCUCCACCGUUUCCAAUUGAUCAGUACAUAAGACACAAGAAGUAAGAACAUUACUAUUCCAAUGCCUCAUGCGAUCCCCAGUAGCAAGUCUUCCUUUCAUUGCCAUCCACAUAAUAAAAGAAUAUUUCGGGGUUGCAUACUGAAACCAUACCUCAUUACUCCAAUGGCACUCAAGGUGUCUUUCCCUAACAAACUCCCAUGUCUCCUUAGAAGAAAAAUUUCGCUUAUAACUCUUCCCACACAACCAUAACGACAUAUCUUCUUCUAUACCUUUGUUUCUAUUUCUGUCUAUCUCAUCUUCCACUUUAUUCAAAAUUGUGACACGAUGAUACCUCCUUCUAUGCUUCCAACUCUCCUCCACUGUGGCCUUAAUUGGAAUACCCAGAGUAAUACAACCGACUUCACCCAGAAUAUCCCGCAAACAACCCAAUGUAGACCAAUUUUCAAACCAAAAAGAAGACUUCCUCCCAUUAUUAAUCUCCACUUUAUACAACUUCUGAGCAACUCCUCGACAUUGUAACAGCUUUCUCCACAUCCAUGAUCCAGUUUGAGUAUUCUCCUUGACCAUCCACAACGAGCCCUUCCUUAUAAGAUAAACUUUUACCCAAUUCACCCAAAUUGAAUUUGCAGAGAGAAUCCUCCACACUAACUUCAAACAGCUUACCAUAUUCACCUCUUUUAAUCUCCUUAGCCCCAACCCGCCUUCUUUUUUCGGUCUACAGAUCUCCAGCCAAGAAACUUUUGCUUUCCUUCGAUUCAAAUCAGGACCAGACCAAAGAAAAGCAGAACACAAGCUCUCUAUCUCCUUAAUACAACCACUCGGCAAUCUGAACGCCGCCAUCCAAAAAUUUACUAGACUUGUGAUAACCGACUUGAUUAAUUGGAGUCUCCCAGCAUAGGAAAGAAAUCUACCUGUCCAAGAUCCGAUUCUUUUCCUUAUUUUCUCAAUCAGUGGCAUGUAAUCCAAGACUGUCAUUUUCUUCGUUAACAGGGGAAGACCUAGAUAGCGAACAGGUAACUUUCCAUUUGCAAAAGGAAAAUGGCUAAGGAUAUCUUCUUGCUGUUGACUAGAGACACCCGCUAGGAACAAUGUUGAUUUCUCCAAACUAAUCUUUAGGCCAGACAUUUUAUCAAACUCUUCAAACACUUGCAGAAUACCUUCAAUAGACUGUUGAGAUCCAUCCGCAAACACCAUCAUAUCAUCCGCAAAGCAUAGAUGAGUUAGCUCCAAUUUCUCACAUUUAGGAUGAUACCCAAACUUCCCAUUCACAACCGCUUCAUCCAACAAUCUAGAAAGAACAUUCAUACAAACCACGAACAGAUAAGGAGAUAACGAACAGCCCUGUCUUAAACCUCUUCUGCUUUGAAAAUAGCCAGCCAGCUCCCCAUUCACUUGAACUGAGAACGAAGCUGUUGUGACACAUAAGGAAAUCCAAUGAAUGAAUUUACUUGGCAGACCAAGAGCUUUCAGAGUGUUGAUGAGGAAAGACCAUUGGACAGAGUCAAACGCUUUUGAGAUGUCGAUCUGCAUUGCACACCUCUGAGAUAUGUCCUCCUUGUGGUAGUCUUUCACUAUUUCAGUUGCCAACAGAACAUUUUCCAUGAGCAACCUCUCCUUGAGAAAAGCAGAUUGAUUCCAGGAAAUGCAUUUCGGUAAUAUACUCUUCAGUCUAUUUGCUAGUAUCUUUGAAAUUAAUUUGUAAAGGACAUUGCAACACGAAAUGGGUCGAUAGUCUUUCAUACCUUUUGCUUCCUUCUUCUUCGGAAUAAGAGCAAGAAUAGUUGAAUUAAGACCCUUCGGCAAGAAUCCCAAACUGAAAAAAGACUGCACUGCCACCGUGACAUCUUCUCCAAUUAUCGACCAAGAUUCCCUGAAGAACUCUACUGUAUAUCCAUCAGGACCAGGAGCUUUACUCCCUGGCAUUUUGAACAAUACUCUACAAAUUUCUUCCUUCGUUACUUCUUUCAAUAACCCCUCACUGUCAGCCUCACUACAUUGAAAUUUUAACAACUCCCUAAGCCUGUCAACUGUCACUCCUUCAAAAUCCUGAGGUUGAGUAGUUAAGAACUCUUCAAAAUAACGCUCCGCUUCUAUUUUAAUCUCCCCCUCCGAUUUAACCAAUCUACCAUCUGCACAUUGAAUUUCAUAGAUAGUAUUCUGAACCUCCCGAAUCUUUGCUGCAUUAUGAAAAGCUUUGUUGUUACCAUCCCCCACAUCCAGCCAGUGCAGCUUUGAUUUUUGCUUCAUAUAGUCCUCCUCUAAAUCCGAUAACCUCACCCAUCUAUCAUAAGCUUGAACUUCUUCUCUUAUAUUCUCCGUUGUGGGAUCUUCUAAGUUAAUUUGUUGCUUAACACAGAGGACUUUAUAAGCGUCUCUUGUCUUCCUUGGUAAAUCUCCCAGUUUCAACUUACUAAGCUCUCGCAGAGGUUGCUUUAACAUCUUCAACCUUUUGGAUAGCAGAAACAUAGCUGAUGUUGAAUGAAACAAACCCUCAUAAUCCUUCCAGUAGUCUGUAAUAAGUGGCAUGAACUCUGGCAUCUUUGCAAUUAGAUUCGUGAACUUAAACGGCUUUCGCUUCUUCUCCACCUCCCUAUCAAACUGUAUUCUACAUCGCAAAUGAUCGGAACAACCUCCUGCUUCAUAUACACAAUACGCACUCGACUGUUUAAGCCACUCUUCGUUUAUGAGAACUCUGUCUAGCUUCUUACAGAUAAGACCAUUCUCCCUCUUAUUACACCAGGUGAAUAAAGCCCCCUGAAAACCCAUAUCAACCAAACUGCAAUAAUUAGUAACCUCUUGGAACUCUCUCAUCCCCACCGGAAUUCUCUGUAUAUCUUCAAAUCCCGAGUGCUCCUUCCCUUCAAGAAUCUCGUUAUAAUCCCCCAUUUGUAUCCAUCUCUUAUUUUUAAACAUCCCCGCAUCAUGAUGAUUUUUAAGAUCCACCCAAAGACUUCUCCUCUCUUCCACUGUAUUCUGCGCGUACACAAAGGAGCAAAAAAAUUCUUCUGACUCCCCUGGAAGCAAUAUCGAAACUGUUAUCAGUUGAUCACUUUUAUAAACUGGAGUCACUCUCACCACUGACCUCCAGAUCACCCAAAUUCUACCCAGCCUGUUAUGUUCAUAGUUCGACAGAAAAUCCCAACCUUGAAAAACACUCGACACAAUCCUACUCGCCUUAUUCUCCUUCACCCUCGUUUCAAUUAAACAUCCAAAAAGAAAAUUCUGACUUCCCACCCAACUUCUUACCACAUCCUGUUUAGCAGAUUUAUUGAACCCUCUCAUAUUCCAAAAGAAACCCGCCAUUUAAAGAUUUGUAUUUGAACCCCUCUCCAGAACUCGGUGAUUUGUUUUCGACUGCCUUGGUAGAAUUUGUCUUGCUCGACUCUUCUUACUGCCUUUGGUUCUCACCUCAAUACUUUCCUCAAUCUUCCGUUGACAUUCAUCCUCUUCCUCUUCUUCCUCAACUUCCUCCCUAUCCUCUUCCUCCUUAUUUAUUGCAUCUCCAUUUUCAUCUGAGUUGCUAAGAGCUGCAAACCUCGAAGGAGUGGUGAUAAUCACUUGAUCAUUUUUCAGAUUUUGUGACUUUGGACUUCGACCGAUCCUUUCCCCUGAAACUUCUCUCCACUCAUUAAUUUGACCUUCCUCCAAAUCUCCCUGUUCUGCGAUACUAGCAUCAGUUCCCCUAUCUUCUCCCAUCUUACUACUUUCCACCAUCUCCUCCUCACUUGUAUUUUUUGUCUCAUCCUUCUUUUCUUCCAUCUUACUACGUCGCAUCUUUCUUGUCAGCUACAACUUCUUUUCCCACUUUGCAAAAAGUUUCAUAGUGGCCCCAACGCCCACAUUUGAGACACUUUGCUGGUAACUUUGGAUAGCUGAACUGAACCGUCACCUCCUCUCCCUGAAUGUUGUACAUUAUCCUCUGAGGUAACUCCUUUGAUAAAUCCGCUUUGACAAACACCUUAACAAAUUCACCAAUUUUACUGUGUUCAUAGAGUUUUUAAAAAAUAUUAGAACCCUAUUAUAGUUUAAUGCUUUGGAAUUUCAAAAGUUUCUAACAAAUUUACAAAAAGUUACAAAAAAAAGCUAUUCCAAAAAGAUCAAUCACAAUAAAACAGUGGAUAAAUGAGCAAUUGAUCAUUCAAAAUAAAAAGGAUCCUUGAAAGAAAUAAAAAGGAAGAAACUGAGGAGAAACAAUUAGGAGUAUCAUUUAAUAUAAUAUGUUUAUUAAAGAAACUAAAGAGUGAUGAAAAAGAAAGAAAAGAAAUUAAAUGAUUGCUAGAAAAGAUAACGAAAUCCUAUGUAUAUUUGAAUGAGUAGCUCUUUUGUUAUUAUUUUCAGAAAAGGAAAAAAAAGUUAUAUUAAUAUCACAAACAAAAGAGAAGGUAAGCUCGAACCUAAUACCUCUAGAAUCAAAGGAACGGACUACAACCACUGGACUACAAUGGACUUUGUCAAUUGUGGCGCCCCUAAAAUAUUUAUUAUUUUGGUGCCUAAAGCCCUGGCUUUAUGGGCUUUAGCCCAGGGCAGGCCCUGAUAACAGGCUACAAGUCUUUUAGGAAUUAUGAUGCUCUGCACAUUUUCUUUCCUCGCAAUUAAAUUUUCAGCAUAAGGAAAGAUGAUGCAAAUCUUACAUCAAGACUUGCUAUGCCUUUUUUCUUCGUAAAUUUCCUCAACAAAGAUGGAAUCUUAUAAUGAACUUAAAUGAAAAUGGUAAAUUUACUGUAUUAGUUUCAAUAGAUGUCCAAAAUAUUUGUUGAAUAUUUUACAUUACUAUACAUUUAUGACUUCUAAAUGAGUGCGCUGAAUCCGCUGAUAACCAAACUACACGCAGUAAAUAACCAACCUACAUUUAAUAGUUGUUCUGAACUUUCACAUAUUCUUUAAAAUCUACCACUAAAUUCACUUGGUAUUCUUUAAAGCAAUUCACUUUAUAACCUAUAGAUAGGCCUGUGACUUAUUUUCCGAGAUUCCGAUUCGAUCCGAAAUCCACUCCGGAUCCGCUCUGGAAAUAGAAUAUCCGGAGUGCCUGGAUCCGAAUCCGGAUAGUAAAAUUUUGGAUCCGUCCAAACCGAAUCCGAAUCCAGAUAUCUUAAUUUUUAAGUCCAAAUAUCUUAAUUUUUAGGUCUGGAUAUCUGGAUCCGGAUAGUAUUUUUUUAAACACAUUAAAAUUUUAAAUUUCAUUAAUAUUUAUAUUUGAUAUAUUAAUAUUUAUACAUGAAUUAAUCUUAUAAUAUUAUAUUUUAGUUUUUACAAUAUUAUAGACAAAAAUAUAAAUAUAUUUAUAAAUAUUAAAUUAUGUAUUAUAUUAAAAAUAGUAUUUUUUAAAAAAAUAUUAUUUUUAAUUAUUUUUACGGAUCUGAAUCCGGAUAUCCGAGGGUAAUAGAAUAUCAGAACAAAUAUCUGAAAUCCGGAUAUCCGGAAACCACGAAUCUGGAUCUAGAUAUUAAAUUCACGGAUCCGACGGAUCCAGAUCUGGAUUCGGAUAUAUCCUUUCCGGAUAUCUGGAUCUGUCUCAGGCCUACCUAUAGAUACUAUAUAUAAUGUAAUAGUCAAAACUUAUUGUUGAGACAUUAUUAGAUAAAUAAAAACAUAUAUUUAAUAAAAAUGAUCCAAAUAAAAAUUAUACAUAAAACUUAUAUGAUUUAAUAGAUAAACUGUUUAUAACUGAAUAUUUAUUUUUUAAUAUAUCUGAUUCUGACCAUAUAUAAUCAAAAUAUUUGAAAGAUUAUUACAUUUGAGGGAACGGCGAAACCGUAAAGGAAAUAUUAGAUAUAUAUCAAUUAUAUUAUUUUUUAAUCAAAUAUAUUAAUUAUAUAUGUUUAUUGUAUUGUACGAAUCAAAUUUGAAUAUUUGACCACUGUUUGUAAAGGUGAUUAAAUGAGUGCGAUGAUGACGAAAUUGAAUAUUGCUUGUAAAGGUGAUUAAAUGAGUGCGAUGAUGACAUCUUACAUUACUAUAAAUUUAUUAUGACUUUUCUAACCAAACUAUACGCAUCCUUUUUAUAUAACCGAGAAGUCAAUUUAGUGAUUUAUGCUGACGUAUCGUUCAUAAAAGAGUUUUCUAAUUAAUUGUUAUAAUUUGAUUGGUCGAAGAUUUUUCAUUUUUUAUUUAUUUAAUUAAAUUUUUAAAAAGAAACUAUUCAUAAAAUUACCUAAUCUAAUAUAUAUUUCCAAGCAUACAAUUAAACAUUUUAAAUAUAGAUCAAUUAACAUAAUUUGGUCACUUGAUCAUUUUUCAGAUUUUGUGACUUUGGACUUCGACCGAUCCUUUCCCCUGAAACUUCUCUCCACUCAUUAAUUUGACCUUCCUCCAAAUCUCCCUGUUCUGCGAUACUAGCAUCAGUUCCCCUAUCUUCUCCCAUCUUACUACUUUCCACCAUCUCCUCCUCACUUGUAUUUUUUGUCUCAUCCUUCUUUUCUUCCAUCUUACUACGUCGCAUCUUUCUUGUCAGCUACAACUUCUUUUCCCACUUUGCAAAAAGUUUCAUAGUGGCCCCAACGCCCACAUUUGAGACACUUUGCUGGUAACUUUGGAUAGCUGAACUGAACCGUCACCUCCUCUCCCUGAAUGUUGUACAUUAUCCUCUGAGGUAACUCCUUUGAUAAAUCCGCUUUGACAAACACCUUAACAAAUUCACCAAUUUUACUGUGUUCAUAGAGUUUUUAAAAAAUAUUAGAACCCUAUUAUAGUUUAAUGCUUUGGAAUUUCAAAAGUUUCUAACAAAUUUACAAAAAGUUACAAAAAAAAGCUAUUCCAAAAAGAUCAAUCACAAUAAAACAGUGGAUAAAUGAGCAAUUGAUCAUUCAAAAUAAAAAGGAUCCUUGAAAGAAAUAAAAAGGAAGAAACUGAGGAGAAACAAUUAGGAGUAUCAUUUAAUAUAAUAUGUUUAUUAAAGAAACUAAAGAGUGAUGAAAAAGAAAGAAAAGAAAUUAAAUGAUUGCUAGAAAAGAUAACGAAAUCCUAUGUAUAUUUGAAUGAGUAGCUCUUUUGUUAUUAUUUUCAGAAAAGGAAAAAAAAGUUAUAUUAAUAUCACAAACAAAAGAGAAGGUAAGCUCGAACCUAAUACCUCUAGAAUCAAAGGAACGGACUACAACCACUGGACUACAAUGGACUUUGUCAAUUGUGGCGCCCCUAAAAUAUUUAUUAUUUUGGUGCCUAAAGCCCUGGCUUUAUGGGCUUUAGCCCAGGGCAGGCCCUGAUAACAGGCUACAAGUCUUUUAGGAAUUAUGAUGCUCUGCACAUUUUCUUUCCUCGCAAUUAAAUUUUCAGCAUAAGGAAAGAUGAUGCAAAUCUUACAUCAAGACUUGCUAUGCCUUUUUUCUUCGUAAAUUUCCUCAACAAAGAUGGAAUCUUAUAAUGAACUUAAAUGAAAAUGGUAAAUUUACUGUAUUAGUUUCAAUAGAUGUCCAAAAUAUUUGUUGAAUAUUUUACAUUACUAUACAUUUAUGACUUCUAAAUGAGUGCGCUGAAUCCGCUGAUAACCAAACUACACGCAGUAAAUAACCAACCUACAUUUAAUAGUUGUUCUGAACUUUCACAUAUUCUUUAAAAUCUACCACUAAAUUCACUUGGUAUUCUUUAAAGCAAUUCACUUUAUAACCUAUAGAUAGGCCUGUGACUUAUUUUCCGAGAUUCCGAUUCGAUCCGAAAUCCACUCCGGAUCCGCUCUGGAAAUAGAAUAUCCGGAGUGCCUGGAUCCGAAUCCGGAUAGUAAAAUUUUGGAUCCGUCCAAACCGAAUCCGAAUCCAGAUAUCUUAAUUUUUAAGUCCAAAUAUCUUAAUUUUUAGGUCUGGAUAUCUGGAUCCGGAUAGUAUUUUUUUAAACACAUUAAAAUUUUAAAUUUCAUUAAUAUUUAUAUUUGAUAUAUUAAUAUUUAUACAUGAAUUAAUCUUAUAAUAUUAUAUUUUAGUUUUUACAAUAUUAUAGACAAAAAUAUAAAUAUAUUUAUAAAUAUUAAAUUAUGUAUUAUAUUAAAAAUAGUAUUUUUUAAAAAAAUAUUAUUUUUAAUUAUUUUUACGGAUCUGAAUCCGGAUAUCCGAGGGUAAUAGAAUAUCAGAACAAAUAUCUGAAAUCCGGAUAUCCGGAAACCACGAAUCUGGAUCUAGAUAUUAAAUUCACGGAUCCGACGGAUCCAGAUCUGGAUUCGGAUAUAUCCUUUCCGGAUAUCUGGAUCUGUCUCAGGCCUACCUAUAGAUACUAUAUAUAAUGUAAUAGUCAAAACUUAUUGUUGAGACAUUAUUAGAUAAAUAAAAACAUAUAUUUAAUAAAAAUGAUCCAAAUAAAAAUUAUACAUAAAACUUAUAUGAUUUAAUAGAUAAACUGUUUAUAACUGAAUAUUUAUUUUUUAAUAUAUCUGAUUCUGACCAUAUAUAAUCAAAAUAUUUGAAAGAUUAUUACAUUUGAGGGAACGGCGAAACCGUAAAGGAAAUAUUAGAUAUAUAUCAAUUAUAUUAUUUUUUAAUCAAAUAUAUUAAUUAUAUAUGUUUAUUGUAUUGUACGAAUCAAAUUUGAAUAUUUGACCACUGUUUGUAAAGGUGAUUAAAUGAGUGCGAUGAUGACGAAAUUGAAUAUUGCUUGUAAAGGUGAUUAAAUGAGUGCGAUGAUGACAUCUUACAUUACUAUAAAUUUAUUAUGACUUUUCUAACCAAACUAUACGCAUCCUUUUUAUAUAACCGAGAAGUCAAUUUAGUGAUUUAUGCUGACGUAUCGUUCAUAAAAGAGUUUUCUAAUUAAUUGUUAUAAUUUGAUUGGUCGAAGAUUUUUCAUUUUUUAUUUAUUUAAUUAAAUUUUUAAAAAGAAACUAUUCAUAAAAUUACCUAAUCUAAUAUAUAUUUCCAAGCAUACAAUUAAACAUUUUAAAUAUAGAUCAAUUAACAUAAUUUGGUUAUAGAAAUAAUUAAAUAUCUAGAUUAUAUUAUAUAAAUUGAUAAGAUACAUAUAAAUACAUAUAAUACAAUAGAAACAGUUAUAAAAAUGGUUUUUUAUUAUGUUUAUAAUAGUAGUGAAUAAAAUAAAUAAUAGAUUUUAGAAAACUAAUUAAUCUAAACUUAAUCUUCUUAUAUAUUAAUUGAAAAGUCUCUUUAAUGAUUUAUGUUGACAUGUCGCUCAUAGAAGAACUCUCUAUUUAAUUGUUAUAAUUUGAUUGGUUGAUGGUUUUUCGGUUUUUAUUAUAUUUAUAUUAGUAGUGAAUAAAAUAAAUCAUAGAUUUUAGAAAACUAAUUAAUCUAAACUUAAUAAUAUUAAUUAAAUUCACUUAUUCACUAUAUAUAGUAUAAAAACGUGUCAAGUGAAUGUAAAACAGUCAAAUAUAUAAUUCUAAAACUCCAAUCAUAUAUGUGUUAUUACUUUUAAAAAUUAUUAAAAUAGUUUAUAUUUUAAAACAUAAAAACUAUAUGGUAAGUAAUUUAAACGUAUAUUAAUCAAAAAAAUUAUUUAGCUCAUCUAUUAAUAUAAACAGAUGAAUUAACAUUAUUAUACGGUAAUUAAUUUAAAAUUAUAUUAUUUGGUAAUUCAUUUAAUUUAUUGUAUGGUAAGUCAUUUAAUUAUAUUAAUCAAAGUAUUUUUCACAGGAUUUUUUAGAGUUAAUACUCUAUUAAUAUAAUUCAUAUAGCUUGGAUUAUAAUAAAAUCAGUAUGCUUAUUUUUAAUAGAAAAAAUCAGCAUGCUUAUUAAUAUAAAAAAAUAAUGAUUUAUGUUAACUAAUUGUAGAAUUAGAGAAAGAAUAUAUAUGUUGUAUCAAUUUAUUUAUUUUUAUCAAUUAACUAUAUAUAAUUAAAUAAAAUACUUUAGCAUUUUUUAUAGAAAUAAAUUUAAUGGUUAUAUAUUAUUAUAUAAAAGAAUUACAUUUGUAGGUAAGGAAUUAUUAUAGCUUUAAUGUUCUAAAAGCCCACGCAUUUUUUAUAGAAAUAAAUUUAAUGGUUAUAUAUUAUUAUAUAAAAUAAUUAUAUUUGUAGGUAAGGAAUUAUUAUAAUUUUAAUGUUUGAAAAACCCACUCUUUACAAAAGAUCUUCCAUGAUAAAAGCUUCUGAUCAUUGUAUUGGUCAUAGUGUGUUUUUUUUUUCAUUUGAGAGAUAGAUUAUUUUUGGUUUUUCUAUGAAACUAAAAUAUAAAGUAAUUUUACAACCAAUUAUCUGAAUUAAUUAUAAUAUUUUUUUCUGUAAGAGAAAGAAUUUUAAUGACUAAGGUUUAUGUUUUUGAACUAUUUUAAAUUUCACAUAUCUUAUAAAAAUCUAUACUGAUAUUUUUGAUUAUCCAAAUAUUUGAAACUAAAAAUUAAAAUUUUAAAUUUUUAAUUAUUAUUCAAAAAUUAUAACAGUGUAAAGAUAAUAUAUAUUUCUUCAUAUAAUAUAGCUACCCGCAAAAUUGCAGGCAAGCACCUAGUAUCUAUUAUUAUAAAAUUAGUUUUUUUUCCUUCUUCUAACAAGUGGCAGAGAGUUUUUUCAACACGUGUCAUCUAUAUAUAUUUUUUACAUUUUAGGUCAUUUUUUUAAAUUAUUGUAAUUUAGCAAAGUACUUUUUAAUUGUGUAGUAUAUAAUCAUUUUCGCAUUAACUAUUAUCGUAUGGAGUUCGAUAUUGUUCACGAAAAUUCAAGAUGAAUAAUGAAAUAAACAAAAUAAUAGAAAUGUAUUUUUCAUAUUUAAUUUAUUCACAACUAAAAAUAAAAUAAAUUUAAUUAUUUUCUUAUCAUUUUCUAUUAUUUAAAUUACAAAUUAUAUAUUUAUUUAAAUAUUUAAAAUAUAAAAUGACCAAACUAAUAAGAAGAAAUUAAAGUGUAAUACAUAAUCUAAACAUAAAACUUCUAUAUUCAGAGAGAAAAAGUAAAAUACCAUAGUAACACUAACUCAAUAAAGUUUUAGAGCUGAAAAUAGAUCAACAAUUAAGACUAACCUAUCUCAUCUUACCAUAGAAUAUCUUGGCAAGGACAAACAAAUGUCAGAAAAAAGUAAAAAGAUAAAAUAUGGGAUAAAACAAUCCCCAAAACACAAAGGAUCGCGAUCAAGCACCAGCGCAAAAAAAAAACAAAAUGGCGAAUCAAAGAAAGAAUAAUCAUCGGAAGAACAAAGUCACCAUGAAAAAAAGACGCAUGUCUAAAGCAUACCGGAAGCACAACCACCACCUAAGAGAUAAAAACACCUCACAAACUAAACAAGCACAUACAAGGCGUCCAUGCCAGCGAAGAACCACAAAACUCUGAAUAGAAGAAACCAAAACUCCAAAAGACUAACUCCGCACACCUACACUAAGUAAUGCGUGAGAAGAAGAUAAACAACCUGAGUGGGGGAGAAUGGAGCCAACCACCAAAAAAUCAAAGCUUAAGCUUGAGACCAUAAACAACCUUCCACGCGCACAAAGCAUACACAGAGAAAAACACUUCAAACCUGGAGUAGCAAAUAUGACGAAAGGGAGAGCCACCAGAGACGUGAUCAGCGAUGAAAGGUGCAAUGAGAUGAAAGAACAAAAAGAUAAAAAGAGACAAAAUGAAAUCAACAGAGCCAUCCUCGACUAUGAAAAAUAGCAUCGAAGUCAGAUCACCAAAUACUAGAUCUUGAAAACCAAAACGAGCAGAGACUAUCGACGGCAAACCAACGAUGAGGAAGACAACAUCAAUGACAACUAAACUCUGGCCUAAUCUAAAGAGAUGUAGUUUCUAACCUUAUCUGAAAUCUAAAGAAAAAAGAGGAACAAUACUGACCAAAAUAACCUACAACACCGUAAGCAACAACCACACAACAUGGAACUAAUAUGUCUGAUUUAUAACAAAUACUAGAUAAUCUCAUAGACAAAGAAGGUGAGGAAAAACAAGAGCAUAAAAAAGAGUCUUUUUCAAAUGAUGGUGAGAAGAACUGCACAUCGGAGAGGUAAACAAAAUACAUAGAUGGUGCAAAAUAUGGAGAGUGCAAAAAACAUCUAAAAAAAAGUAAUGUUCAAAAUUGUAAAAAAAUUAAUUUAUAAUUUUGACGCUGUUAAUCUUAUAAUCAACAAAUGCUUAAAAGCGAAGUUAUUAAAAUUUAAUAUAUUUUAUAUCAGAAACUCACUUCACCACUAAUAAGUAAUAUUAUAUAUACAACAACACAUUAUUAAAAAGACAAACACAUAAUACAUUAACUUAUUAUCUACUACUACAUAUAACAUAAUAAAACACCAAAAAGUACUUUUUACAAAUAAAUAUUGACUAUAUAAUCAAAUCUUCUAAAAAAACCAUAUUUAAUAAUAAUAAAAUAAUAUUUUGCGCGAAUACGUCCUUUACUAAUAAAAGACUGGAUGGAUACCGUAAAGGAAUGGAUGGAUACCCGCGCAUCUCCUCGUUUACUUUUUAUUAUUCAAAUCGAAAAUUAUCUUUUUUGAAAAGUAAGAUAAGAAAAUUCCACGAUGCGAACCCCAUCAUCUGCCGAAAGCAAAAACAGAUAAUUUACGUGUUGCAAAAUUCGCCAAACUUUGAGCAAAUAAUUUUCUUGUCUUUUAUCAUCUUUUUUCUAUUUAACAGUUUUGUCUCUUCGUCCUGUUUCUGAACAAACACAAAUAAGAAGAAGAUGGAAACGAAGUACGAUCGUGCUACCGAGGUAAAAGCCUUCGACAAAAUGGUAAGGAUUGACUCAAAGUUGAGCUUUCACUCCGAGUGAUGGGAUCAGGAGAACUCAACUUUGAGCUUUUAUGAAAAGCUUUAAGGCUGGAUUCUUAUCGAAUGGUAAGGAUUAAGCGCUAAAGCUUCUGAUAAAAGCUCAAAGAUCAUCUCCCCAUGACAUUCAACUCUGGUCUGCGUACAGUUUUUUUUGAUAUAAUUGAUGGUUCGUAAGUUUUAAUGGUCUGUGUGUUUUAAGAAAGUUAUUUUGGAGCAUUCAAUGCAAGUGAUGGGAUCAGAGAGCUCAACCAUUAGCUUUUAUGAAAAACUUUAAGGCUGGAUAUUUAUCAAAUGGUAAGAGUUUAUCGCUAAAGAUUCUGAUAAAAGCUCAAAGAUAAGCUCCCCCAUAACAUUCAAUUUUGUGUACAUUUUGUUUGAUAUUAUUGAUGGGUUUUGUAAGUUUUAUUGGUUUAAGGAAGUCAUGUUUGAGUAUUGAAACCAACUGAUGGGAUCAGAGAGCUCAACUUUGAGCUUUUUAUGAAAAGCUUUAAGGCAUAAUCCUUAUCAAAUGGUAAGGUUUAGCGCAAUAGCUUUCGUUAGAAUAUCUCCAAAAGAAACUAUAUAACUUCAAAUAUGAAUUCUAAGUAACUCCCCCUCUAAAAACUUAUCGAAAACAAAAGUCCCCAUCCAUAAAAAGCUUUAAGGCAGAAACCUUAUCAAAUGGUAAGGUUUAGCGCAAUAGCUUUUGUUAGAGUAUCUCCAAAAGAUACUUUAUAACUUCAAAUAUUAAUUCUAAAUAACUUUCCCUCUAAAAACUCUCUCUCUGAAAACUUCUCGAAAACAAAAGUCCCGAUCUUGCCUCCGGCGGCCGCUUCCUCUCUUCGCCGUCGGAGGGCUUCUCAUCCUUUCUUCUCUUUUUUCCUUUGCUCCUACUAUCCUAUCUCACCCGCCUCCGAUAUGUGGUUGUCCCUGGAGCGGGAUCGUUCGUCGGCGGAGGAGCCUAGGCCGAAUCUGGUGGUCGUUUCGUCCCUCUGGUGACUCUGUGCGGGUGUGGUUAGGGUGGGAGACAUGGAUUUGUUUUUGGGUAGGGUUUUUGUCUGGUCUCGAUUUGUAGAUCUCCGGCGAAAUCCGCUGAAUGGCGGGCUUGGCUUCGUAUGGUGGUCCCUUCGCCUAGGAUCUGGUCUUCUCCAGCGUUCCAUCUCAUCCGUUUUUCCGGCGAAGUAGCACGGCGGCGCGUGAUUCUCCAGCGCACGAGGCGUUUCGUCGUCAGGUUUUGUGCAGCUUAAGGUGCAGUGGGUUCAGAGAGGUUUCUCCUCUAUUUGUUUUUAUGUUUUUAUUUUAAAAUCUAUGUUUAAAAUGUUAAGUUUGACUUUGUUUUAUUUAAUAAAUAAAUUUAAUUUUUGUUUAAAAUUUUAUGUUUAAAAAUAAGUUUAAUAUUUUUUUAAUUGUUAAGAACCUUAAUUAAGAAACCACUAAUAUACCACUAUAAUUAAGUGUCUCUUAACAAAGUCUGUUAUCUGUUAUCUGUUAUCUGCUGCCAAAAAAAAAAACAAAGUCUGUUAUCUUUAUUUUAAUAGUUAAAAAAUAAUUACAAACCACUUAAAAGACACUAAAGGGUUUUACCAAUAAACAUGCUCUUAUGGUGGGGUUCUUAGCUUCGGGUAAGAACUGUUUCUACUGUUUUUUAGUUUUUAACUAAUAAAAACUAAGAACUGACUCUUAAAUAAGAGAUAUAAGAGCCGAUUUUUUGUCGAAAAGUGUAAAAAAAAAAUAAAAAAAUAUCAAAUCAUGAAUUAAAAAUCCCAAAUUAAGAAUCUAGGUUAAUUAUGUUCUUAGCGCUAAAGCUUCUGAUAAAAGAUCAAAAAUAAGCUCCCCAUGACAUUUCAACUCCGCGUACAGUUGUUUGAUAUUAUUGAUGAGUUUUGUGAGUUUUAUUGGUUUGAAUGUGUUAAGAAAGUCAUGUUGGAGUAAUUAAAGCGAGUGAUGAGAUCAGGAACACUCAAUAUUGAGCAUUUAUGAAAAGCUUAAAGGCUAAAUCCUUAUCAAAUGUAAGGAUUAAGUGCUAAAGCUUCUGGUAAAAACUAAAAGAUUUUUAAAAUUAUAUAGAUUUUAUAAGAGUUUAAAAAAUUUAAUAUGGUUUUGAAAAAAUAAAAGAAAUCAAAAUAUAUACGAUUUUAAAAAGUUUUGUAAGACUCUGAGAACACUUUUAAAACUCAGUAUUUGCACUAUUUUAUAGGCUUUUGACCAAAAUAUAAUUUUUUACUACAACAUACGAUUUUAUAAAAAAAAGAUCAUGAUGUUUUUUUUUUUGGAACUGAUUUUAAGAUCAUGAUGUUCUUUUGAUCAAAACAUAUGGUUUACAAGGUUAUGUGGCUCUAAAAUAAAGGAACAAUGAGUUUGUAAAGUUUUGGAAAGUGUUACGAAAAUUUGUAAAGCUUUGAAGAGGUCUUAUAAAGAAACUUCUAACAAACAGCUUAUUGUAUUUAUCUACUUUAUAAGGUUUAAUUUGUUUGGAAGGUCUACGAAAGAAUUAUAGAAUUUAGAAAAUUAUCUACAAUCGUAUAAAAUCUUAUAAAUAUGGAUAUAGAUGGGAUUAUAAUGAAACUUGCAACACCUUAUAGAACAUGUUUUACUCUGUUUUCUUUACUAGAAAAUAAUCUCUCAUUUAGCUUAUAACAUUAUUCUCUAUCGAGCGACAGUCUUCACUUUAAUUACCUCAUCUUGUAAAUCCGUGCAGACAUUGUCAUCUGUGACUUCAUGAUAAAACAUUAUAUAUUCACUAAUAAUCUCGUCUUUAAAACAUUAUAUAUACAAUCUUACGUUUGACAAAUGAUCUAGAAACAAUCAAAAUACUACCAACAAAAAGGAUAUGUAUAUCAUACAAGCAACAAAAUCUUGCAUGGGAAUAUGCGAGAUGGAAUCAUCAUAGCUACCUGUCCAAGCUCCUCGUUUCAAUUGGAAGUCCUGGCCGAGGCAGGUGUAUUUGUUUCAGCAUGCUACAUACUGAUCUGAAAUAGCCUAGAAGACUUCGGAUACGUAAGUCCAAAGCUUUGAUCAGAUCUUGAAUUGAUGCAACACAGAGUUCCCAUCAAGCCCUCUGGCCAUGUAAUGUCUCGUGUACUCAGUGACGGUAGUGUCUCUAUACUUGGGAGGAUUUUGUUCAGACAAAAGCUCUUUCAUCGGUCCAUAUACUCGAAAACUCGGCAAAGGAUGCACAAAGAAAGAUGCUACCGAAACACGAGGCUCACCUCUGUUAGCCAAAACCCUAUGCUCCACGCUCAAAAACUUGUCAUUCGUUAAAAGCUGUAAACAAAAAAAUCACAAAAUGCGUAUGAAUCAAUGGUUUGAUAUAUUCAUGUCAAUAUAAUAAAACUUACCUGUAAGAAAUCUCCAAGGUUGAUGAGAAGAGCUCCAGGAACAGGAGGAACAUCCACCCAACAUCCAUCCUGAAGAACUUGAAGCCCACCGAUGUUGUCUUGAAGAAGAACAGUGAGAAAAGAUCUGUCUGAAUGCUGACUUGUUCCGAACGUUAGGUCAGGCUCAGGACAAGGCGGGUAGUAAUGAGAGAGCAUUAACAAACCCUUUGUGCAAUCCAUUUCUUUCAAAUGGUUAGGAUCCAGCCCUAAAGCUUCUGAUAAAAGCUCAAAGAUUAGCUCCCCUAACUCCAUCACUCGCUUUGAAUACUCCAACAUGAUCUCCCUAAAACAUUUAGACAAAUACAACUUACAAAAUCCAUCAAUAAUAACAAAAAAAAAAAAAAACAAGUUCAGAUUUUAUGAUUCUUACUUUGAGUCGGUCUGGUCUGGUUUUAGCUCUGUUUUAAUUUUAGUUUUUUUUCGAUAUGUUGGUUUAUAAAAUUAACUACCAUAUUAGAAGUAUACCGACCUACCUUCUUCUUCUUUUUGAACAUAGAUAUAUAUCUACUUCAGUUUUUCGAUAUUUAUAAAAGAUAGUUACCAUAUUAAAACCGAAUCUACCUAAUUCUUACCCACAAAUCUCUGGCAAGUCCUCUCUCCUUGGAACAUCAGGGGACAUGAAACAACUUAAAGUAUCUCUCCAGUUGGCAGAUGGAGAGCUAUAGAGAUCGAAGUUACUAUUAUAAGUAACCUUCUUGGUGUUAUCCCGGGUAUAGAGCUUCUUCCUCACGUCUGAGUCUUGUUCAUGAAACCCACAAACCCUAUCUUUCAUCUUGUCCAUAACUUCAACCGGAAUCCCAUGGUUUAUCGCCUGGAAGAACCCGUAUCUCUCCACCGCUUCUUUGAUCUUCAAGAUCACGCGAUCUCGCGUGACCGUGGAGUCGAACACGCCACCUCCAAGAUCGAUCGUUGGGAUCUUCAUCGUUGAGGAGGGAAGCAGUACUGGAGUUGGAGCCGUUGAAGUGAGAUGAGGGUGGUGGAAGAUACGGGGGAUCUCUGAGAUUCCGGCGUCGACGAGACCUUUCACUCCGAGUUUCAUUUCGUCGAAAGCUUUUACCUCGGUAGCACGAUCGUACUUUGCUUCCAUCUUCUUCUUCCUUUUUUUUUGUUUGUGUUUGUUCAGAAACAGGACGAAGAGACAAAAACUUUAUAAAGAGACAAAAGACAAGAAGAUUCUUCGCUCAAAGUACAAUACUUAAGUGAUCGGAAUACGGUGUUCAAGGCUUAGGUGAGCUUUGUUGUUGUUGUCGGAAGAUGAUUGAGCUCGGACUACCCCACUUUUUAUCUUUUCGACUUUUCAAACAAAAACUGAUUAAAAAUAAAAAGAACAAGUGGAAAUGCGGGGUAUCGAUCCCCGUACCUCUCGCAUGCUAAGCGAGCGCUCUACCAUCUGAGCUACAUCCCCAUGACAUUGGUUAAUGGUAUAGCGUCACUAUACCUCGUCAGUAUACCUAGUAAUGUAAAAUACAAUGUCGUUGGUUUUUUUUUAUUUGACGUCGAAUGUCGUUGGGUUAGGUAACUGAAUAUUGUUUGUGAAAGUGACUAAAAAUGAGUGGGGAUGAUGAUUAAAGAUUUUUUUUCCUUUUCCUAAUGAUUACAAAUUGAGUAAAUGACAGCUAAAGAGAUUAAAAGAGAUCAACCGAAUCUCUUGGAGGAUGCUUCCGGGUCUAUGAUUGGUAAGGUGCUGAGACCGGUUCAAAGCUAAAACUAUUUGCAAGGCAUCUUCAAUUUUUUCAUCGGUGAUAUAUUUAGUGUGGUAGAAUCUUGGUUAUAAAUUAUAGUUCUACUUUCAGUGAAUAUUUCCGAAUUUCGAACGAAUUCUUAUUUCAAUUUUUGUUGUUGUUGUUAAAAUGUUAAAAUCUUUUAACUGAAACAAAUAAAUCAAGACUAAUUUAAACACAUGACUGGUCAAGUCGUAAACACACCUACCAAAGAGAGAAUUGAGGCAUGUGGUUCAAGAAACGGUUGGGGCUCAUUCUCUCACGUUUUAUUUUGGUUCCACCUACCUACUUAGAACUACCCAUCUCUUGUUUUCUUCUCCCCGUCUUGCUCCUUAUUUUCUUCUUCUUUUAAUUAAAAACAAACAUAACUUAAUUAAUUAUAAAAGUGUUUUUGGUUACAAACUAGUGGUUAUUGAUAAGUGAAAAGAAUAGUAUAUCAAUCACAUUUAAAAUCAAUCAAUAUGAGGUGUAGGUGGCGCUAAUUCUUUUAGCAAAGUAUGCAUGAUGCGGUUUAUUUUCGUCAGGUAUUCUACGGGUAAUAGGCCCAGAAAUUAGUUUUUAUAAAUUUUAUGUGGGUCAGAUGACCCCCCCCCCCCCCUUCUCUUGGGAGUUUACUCCAGUGAACCCGGAUCAUCACUGUAGCGCCGACCCCACGACAAGUGGCGGCCCGCGAUUGGUCUUAUUAAUAAUUUUUUUUUUUAAAAAAAAAAAAAAAAAAAAAAAAAAAAAACUACAAAUACUAUCCACGGUAAAUGAAAUAAAUACUAUCCAUAGGAGUAUUAUUUAGGGUAUAUCUUUUUAAAUGAGUUUUUUUAAUAAAAAAAAAACACACACACAAAAAGAGAAAAAGAGAAAAAUGACCAAAAAUGUUUCAUUAGAAAGGUAAAAGAAUUUAUACUUUUACUCUAUAUAUAUAUAUAUAUAUAUAAAAAUGUAAAUAAGGAUUUAAAUGAAAAAAAAUUAUUUAACUCGGAUAUUUUCCAAUUUUUUGAUUUUUUCUUCAAAUUUUAUUUUAAAAUCCUAAAAUUAAUUUUGAAAUUAUUUAUUAUUUUAAAUUUUAAUUAUAUGUUUUUUUUAAAUUACAAGCCCAACCCUUUUAUAUAUAAACUCUAAGUUUAUAUUAGUUAAUUCUAGGGAUAUAAAUAGUUUAUAUUUUUAAUAAAACAUAUUUUAAUCAUUUUGAUGCUUGUGUGAUAUAUUUAUGAUAAAAAAAAUUAGUGCUAUAAUUUUUCAGUUAUUUAUACAAUCAAAAUAUUUAUUCGAUUAUGUUUUGUUAAAAAGGAGAAAAGUAAGGUUUUGUGAGAUCUUUUAUUGGUUUUGAUCUAAGUGUCAUGGUCCCAUUGCCGGAUACUCCAAUAGCUAAAAGUUAUCUACAGUAAAAUGGAUUAGUUAUACAAUAAAAUAUAUUUUUUAUUAACCACACAAAAAAAUAAUAUAUUAUACAAUAACAUAAUAAUACACUCAAAACAUUAUUUUUGUUUAAAAAAAAGUAAGAAUGAAAAUAUCUAAAGGAAACGCAACGCCACAUGUCAAAAAUAAUGAUCCCUCUAUCUGCCAAGCCUCCGCUCCUCGCUAUAAAGAUGGCUUCUCAUCAUCACAGAGUCAAUAUCACUUAACAAUCUAACUGUUGUGUCUUGUAAGAGAAAAGAGAGACAGAGAAAAGAUGGUGCUAAAGGUGUACGGACCUCACUUUGCUUCACCAAAGCGUGCUUUGGUAACGCUUAUCGAGAAGGGCGUUCCCUUCGAGACCGUCCCCGUCGAUCUCAUGAAAGGAGAGCACAAGCAGCCUGCUUAUCUCGCCUUACAGGUUCCCUUCCUUGAUCUUCUCUGAAUCUCUUCUGAAUACUCAUUUCAAGAUUCUGAUGAUUCUCUUUGUUUCUUCCUAUGCAGCCUUUCGGUACCGUUCCUGCUGUUGUCGACGGUGACUACAAGAUCUUCGGUACGUUCUUACAUCAUACCUCAAUCUUGAUUGCACACAUGAUGUGAGAUUCUUGAUACAGUUUAGGCUUAUUAGAAGUUUGAUCUUAGAUUAAGACAUGUGUGGAAGAUGUUAUAUUGAGAGAUGUUUUGUUUUAUUACAGAGUCACGUGCGGUGAUGAGGUACGUAGCUGAGAAGUACAGGUCACAAGGACCUGACCUUUUGGGCAAAACCGUGGAAGACAGAGGUCAAGUUGAGCAAUGGCUCGACGUUGAGGCCACCACUUUCCACCCACCUCUACUUAACCUCACACUCCACAUCAUGUUCGCAUCAGUCAUGGGAUUCCCUUCCGAUGAGAAGCUGAUCAAGGAGAGUGAGGAGAAGCUCUCAGCUGUGCUCGAUGUCUACGAGGCACAUCUCUCCAAGAGCAAGUACUUGGCUGGUGAUUUCGUCAGCUUGGCUGAUUUGGCUCACCUCCCUUUCACUGAUUACUUGGUUGGACCCAUCGGUAAGGCUUACAUGAUCAAAGACAGGAAGCACGUGAGCGCAUGGUGGGAUGAUAUUAGCAGCCGUCCUGCUUGGAAGGAGACACUUGAGAAGUACUCAUUCCCUGCUUAAAGAUGAUGAUCAUGUUCUUGAUCUUUGUUUGUGUUUCGGAGUUUCUAAGCAAUGCCUGUGUUUAAUGUGAGGUUUUUAAUAAAGAGUGGAACUGUAUGCCUCCUCUUAUCUUAUGUAUGCCACCUCUCUUGUCUCUUUUGUUUCAUAUUGGAACUCCAAUUCUGUGUGAUUGAGUUGAGGUUUGAAUCUAGAGGAACUUAAUUAUCUAUCUUUUGUUUAGCUCAUUCCAACCACAUUUUGAUUAUUGUCCCCAUUUUUCACUCGCUAUCAAAGUUGAUAUUUGGGGGGGUAUAGGGCCAUUCGGCCUACAUUUUAAGAUUGAAAAAAUUACUUAAAAAAAAAAAAAAAAAUUGAAUUUUUGAAACUAUUAUAAAUAUAGGUCUAAAGAAUUAUAAGCAUUUAGCUCAAUACAUUUUUGCUCUAAGUUUCUCUUUGCUUUUUUCGAGUAGAUUCAUGUUCGUUCAUGACACACCAUUCAUGCAGGACAAUACCUGCAUUCAUCAUAUCCAAAUAAUAACAUACUAACUCUAAAUAGAUAUUUGCCUCAAUGUGUUUUUGUGUGUUUUCGAGUUGAUUCAUGUUCGUUACUAACAUCAUUCAAGCAGGAAAAUACCUGCAUUCAUCAUGUCCAAAACCGGCAAAAGAAAAUGUCAUGUGCACACAAACAUAACAUCAUUCAACAAUUAAAAGUUUAAAACACAUCUCUUUGUUCUUCCCAAGUCGUUACCAAGUCAGACAGAAACUCAAGAGGUUGCUGAGAGAUAGACAAAAUGUUGCGGCACAAGCAAAACCAAAUAGCAACUCUUUUUGGUUUGUUAGAACAAUCAACUCUCCAAACAUUACCAGCACAUCAGAGUAUAUAAAAAUGUACCAAGGUCCCUACCAUUUAUUCAUCAAGGCUGAUGAUGAAAAGAUUCAGGAGGCAGAUCAUUGCGUGGAACAUCAGAUUCAGGAGUUACUACAGUGAUAUCCAAGCUGUCUCGUUCAGUCUCUGCAGAUAUUUCUCUUACAUCAGAAACUCUUGCCUCUGUCGCCUGAAUAUCAUUCCAUUCGUUUUCUCCAACCGGAGCCUGAGCAUGAGCGUUUACCACCUGAUCUUCACUCAUACGGACUACAUUCUCUCCCGGCAUGGACGCUGUUUUAGAAACGCUCAGACAUGCUUUGUCCACAUCCUUUUCUGUUUCUUUCGUCAUCGGAGUCGGAAGAGAUGUUUCGCCGUUGGUAGAUUCAGUCUUCUCCUCAAACACUUGCUCCGUCUCUAGCUGCUGCCUGUUUAUUCAAAAUAUAAAAGAGGAUUAUGACACACUAUACUAGUGUGGGAGAUAGAUUCAGAUAUGCUUAACCUUUGAAGCUGGGUUUGUAACAUAUUCACAUAAGCUAAAAGCUCUUGCUUCUCCGCCCAAGCAGCUGUCUCUCUCUGAGAAGCCUCCUUUGCUUUUGCUUCACCAUUUGCUUCUGCAACCCUCGCUUUCUCUUCGGCUCUCACAACAGCUCCUUCAAGUAUUACAACACGCUCUCUGGCUUUCCCCAGCUCAGACCGCCACAGAUGUGCCUCUUUGAGAGCAGAGUCUCUUUCCUUGACCAGUUGAUCUUUUUCCCUACUCAGAGUAGAUGUCUUCUCUUCCAGUUCCUUAAGCUACAUAGUUAGACACAACAAUCAAUUAACAACAAUAAAGAUGAACAUACAUGACAAGGCCUCAUCAUUCAUUACCUUCGAUAUAGCCGCUUCUUGCUGUCUCUCUGAGUCUUUAGAUAAGCGCUCAAGCUCCACACAAACAAUUUUCCUUUGUUCAUCCAUUGUGUGAGCUGCAGAUGCUGCCGCUACAGCUGCUUCAGCCGUCUCUGAUAGCUUAUCUGCUAUCUCUUUUAUCAUUGAGUCACGAGAACGAAGUUCCCGCGCCAGAUUCUGUAGUUCUUCAUCUUUCACACGCAGAGUUUCCUGCAACAUGUAAGUGGCUCAAUCAAAGCUAACCUGAACAUAAAAUUGUAUAAAGAUGUCUUCUAUAUGAUUUACAUCACUCAGCAAGACACUGCAGAAUGGAUCUCUAUAUGCUACAUGCAGUGAAAUAGAGAAGAAAAAAUAGCGGACCUUCAUUAUAGUCAAAUCAUCUAGUGGUCCAUCGAUCGGUUUAUUAGCCGUGAUUUUCAGUGCGUUCCUCAGAGAGACCUGCAUUGCAGCUUGGAUCUCUUUGGAACAUUCCAGCGCUGUUGAAUUAGCAGCGGCGACAACGGUUGCAACCGUACCAAGUGUUGAAGAACCGCUUCCGCUUAGAGAAUCAACAGCCUCCUUAUGUGCCUUUAGAACUAGUUGUGUCGCACUGAAUAUUCCAAGUGCCAAACAAGGAUAAGCGUGGUGGCAUCUCUAAGAGAUUGGUAAGCUUAAAAUAACGAGAGAUAAAGAUCAAAGAACCAUAUGACUUACUGUAAGGUAGUAACCCAAGCUCUAGCUGCACCAGGAGUCUCUGCACACAAAAAGUAAUCUUUCUUCUGUGGGGUACUAAUAUCUAAAAUCAUGUUGAAGAAAAACUCAACUCUACAUCAAUCAUUCAUCUCCUUUCAGACAAAAGAGAGAACUAUAAACUUGCUAACAAUAUACUAGAAACAAGGAUACAGAUGCAGCAACCAUUAUAUUUCGGAAGCCCCCUGAAACACAAAAGAAAAUAGAUUUCACAAUACGAACUUAAAUAAUGCUGAUUAGUCAGAACAAGAGGAUGUAGCAAUGCAUACUGGAAGUUGACAGGAGAGACAGUGAUUGUGCUAUUAUCAUCAAACAGAAUCGUUCCCUUGAUAGCUGGUUCGUUCCGUCUUGUCCUGAGUCAUGGAAGAACAUUAGAACUCAAAUACAAUAACCCAUGAAGUGAUCUCAGCUACAUAAGCAAUUGAUAUCACUCACUUGUACUCCAUCUUCCCUGUUGUUGGAUCAAGUAUCACCCAUCGUUCGUUCCACUUUCUCAGCUAAUUCACACAUAAACAGAAAACACAAGGAUGGUAUCAGUCCAAAGUCUUGUAGCAAUCCAAGACAUAUCGAGCCAACACAAGACUUGUCAGAAGAACAAUUGAUGCUUAAGCUAUACAACUCUAGACACAAGCAAUUCCCGAAAAGGAAGAGACUUUUGAUCAAUCCACGAAAAUUGAAGAGAACCCAUCAAAAAAGAAUUAAGAAAAUAAUUCGAAACUUACAGUUUCGGACCGCUUGUAAAGCGGUCCCUGUAGCAAGUUCCGACCAGAGCCAGUUGCUAGCUGUCGCUUGAUCCUUUCCAAGCUGUUGUCCGUAGCAUCAACAGGUCUCUGCUCAUUUCACGAUAGCAACAGUAAAUUAGAGAAACAGCUAAUAUAAUUCGCACAGAUCGAGAGAGCGAGAAAAGAGACCGGAGAUGCGCCGUUUGAAGCCAUGUUGAUUGAGAUCGGUGAGAUCGGAGAGCUCUUUGAACGAUCGAUGAAUCGAGAGAGUGGGGGGGUUUUAGAGGUGUGAGGUGAAGAGGACGAUGAAGAUGGAAUUGCAGAAGAAAUUGCUGUUAGGUUUGGUUUCGCGGAAUGGCAGUUGAAUCUGUCUUCACUCUCUCCAACGCUAUCGAAUCUACUUAACCGGCCGGUACGUGAGUUGACCAGCUUUUACGUCAAAUAACCGGUUCUUUGAGAUUUUCUUUUUUGGGUCAUUUAAUCUAACGGUUUGUUUACUAGUCAUUAAUUUCACCAGAUUUUUCUAGUAAAACUUAAAGUAUAAUAUACUACUAGGAUAAGACCCGCGCCUUGCGCGGGAUUAAGUUAUUAUUUUUAUUAUAUUUUGGAGAAUGAAACAAUAAUUUAGCUUCAUUUGGAUUAGGGGUGUUCAAUCCAGAUAUCGGAUUGGUUUCGGUUCGGUUCGGUUUUUUUCGGUAUUUUGGUUAGUAAAAUAUAACUACUAUUCUAAAUCCAUAUUUACUUUGACUUUAAUCUUUCACAUACUUUUGAAAGAUUUCAACUGGACAACUAAAUUGAUCAGUCAAUCUUGUUGCUUUAAAUCAUUAACUCGAACUCGAGAAGAAAUAUUUUAGCAUAUUAUCAUAUCUCACUUACCCCUUUGUUGAUUAUGUUUGCGAUAUUCCUUAAGAACAUUUACUUGUGUUUAAUUUGUUAAUAGAUUAAAAAUGUAUUCAAUCUAAGAUUUAUAAUGAUUUAUUUUAAAAAAAAUUAUUUGAAUUAUUAUUAUUUUGAAAACAUAAUGUUAUAAAAACUGUAAUUGUAAAACAUAUUUUUAAAUUGUUACUAUUCACAAAAAAAAUCUGUGAUUAUGAAAAAUGUAAUUUGAAAUUUUAAUAUAUUCAUAUUUUAGAUGUGGAAAGAGUAAUUUUAAUACAUAUUUCAAAAAUAAAUAUUUAUAUUUAUUUUAUUUAUUAACCCGUAUUAUAAUGCAAUAUAAUAACUUAUGAAAACAAUACUUUAAUUUUAAUAAAAUAAUUAUUUAAGUGUAAAAUAACGCAAAACAAAAUCAAACCAAAUACCAAAUAGUCAAAUACCCUAUAUUAAAAUAUUGUAAAACUCUAUAAAUUAAUAAUGUUGAGGCUAUGAAAUAUUUUUAAUUUAUAGAUUUAUUAAUUUUAAAAAAUUCCUUUUCUGGAUUUUUUAUUUUAGAAUAUAUAUAUAUAUAUAUUUAUUUUAUUAUUAAAUGAUAUUUUUUACUCAUAUGGUUUUAAAAUCAUGUGUAUCUUCUUAUAAUAAAAAUGUUAAACCAUUGAUCAUUAAUUUUUAACAUAAUAAUUUUAAUAGUUUUAGUCAUUUAUUGUCGUUUUUAAAAAUUCAAAAUAUAACAUAUACGAAAAAAUCUAAAUUUUAUUUUUAUAGCUAAUUUGAUUGUUUAAUUUAUUUUAAUAAUAUAAAAUUAAACAAAAAAUGAUGGAGGAUAUAUACAUUGUUAUCAAAUCUUUAUUAUUAAACUCAUUAAUUGUCAUAUAUAUAUUAGUCAUUUAAGGUAAUUCCGUAGGUUUUAUUUAAGGAAAAAAAAUAUCAUAUCAUAUCAUUAUAUCAUAUAGUUUGACCAACUUAUGUAUCUAGCAACAUAUAAAAAUCGAAUUUGGACCUACUUAUUUUUCAAUUGAAUGUAAUUGACUACCUAAUUGAGUGCCACCUAUGCAUUGGGACCUUUUUUAAUUAAUACAAAAUUGAGGUUACAUCUUUUCAAAUGUUCCUCAAUUAAUAUAUAAGGGAUUUUGACUGAAUAAAUUGGAGUAAAAGAGUUCUCUGAAAUUUCGAGUCCGGAGAAAGAACAAGUUUAUACCACAUUUCUAAGUUUUUACCAAGAGACCAUCAUCACUUAACUAAUUUUUGGUUUAGAAGAUCACAUCAAGUGGAGUAGGAGUACCAACCAUGAAUGACGACGUGAUUACCCUUUAUGUAUUUAGGAGUACCAACCGUAUGAAAUGUAUGUAGUAGAGAAAAGACGAAGAAGCUGUAUGACCAUUGUAAGAUCUUACAUGUAGAGGUGUUUGAAACUUUAUAAAAUAGAAAAAAAAAGAGAAGAUUAGGUACCAUGAAUGAAAGCACUCUUUAUUUAUCUAUUAUAUUAGUAAAAAUUGGGGCCCGUAAGAAUUGUGCUUUGAACAAAGGCUGAUUAAAAGUGAGAAAUCGCAUCUGAGAGGGAAUUGUUUUGGUGCUACGCCAUUAGCUUUGCAGUCACUUUGAUACCAUGCAUGUUGCAGUACAAUAGUUACUCAAUAUAGCUCAGAUCAGGUCCUCAGUCUAUGAACUCUAAUCUUUUUGACACAUUUACAAACAUAUAAAUAUAUACAUUCUUAUUCUCUUUUUCAAACACUGCAUUCUUAUUUCAUUGUUACAUUUUCCGCUUAUUUUUGAGUAUAUACAUUCGUGUAAUACUUUUUUUUUUGAACUUUAUAAAUGUAUGUGUGCAAAACCUCGAUAUAGUCUCUAUAUAGUCUUUGCUUAUAACGAAAACAAAAUUCCUUGCCAUGUUUACAUUGAAGAUUGAUGAAUUCUCCAUGAUGGAUCUCUGGAUAUUACAAGGCUAUAAAAUAGCCAGAGGAGUUUAAGGUAUCCAGGAUUUAUAGACCAACAAUAUAUGAACAAUAUCUAAGAAAAAAAACAAAGUGAAUAUAUAUCCCUAUAAGGCUAUAACUAUAAGUAGUUUUACAAGUAUUUUUUGUUUCAAAAUAUAAAAUACCUUCACAUUUUAAUGCAACAUUUUAUUUAUUAGAUAUUGUGUGACCAAUUAAAAAUGCAUGUUCUUAUAAUUCGUUUAAUUUAUAUAUUAAAAUAUUUUUUCAGAAAGUAACUAUUUUUUUUAAUAUGAGUGUUUUUAACUAAAACUACUUAUAUUUUGAAAGAGAAUGAGUAUAUUUUAUCAUGCAUCAUAGCCAAAGAAGAAAACAUAAACUAGAAACGAUUUUAAAUCCAAACAGCGAAGAUUACAACUCAAAACACAGAAACAUAACAUCAUAAACUUUUAUUCCAUAGAUUUUCUUCUUACUUUGUUUCAAACGUAUCACGGUUUACUACUCACACACACACAUAUAAGUGUAUAUAUAGACGCAAACCAUGCAUACUGGUGAAAACAUUAUAUAGUUUUAGUGACCGGGCUGUGUCUGCACAGCUUCUCCGGCAUAAGAACAGCACCGUACGCACCCACGGUAAUUUCUGUAGCAGCAACCGUGGCGGCAAUAACCUCCUCCCCCACGGCCUCCGUUGUAUCCCCCAUGUCCCCCUCUGUUGUAUCCCCCAUGUCCUCCUCCGUUGUAUCCCCCGUGUCCUCCUCCGUUGUAGCCUCCAUGGCCGCCGUGUCCCCCAUUAUACUGAUCAGGUUGCACGGUUUGCCCACUCUCCGACUUAACAGUGCCUGUCAACAACGCAUCGUUUCAAAAUAUGUUUAGCAUGGGCAAAUGUGCAUUUGUCUCCCGGAUUCCAUAAUUAGUUUUUGCUUUCUAAAUUACGGAUGUUUCGUUAAAAAAUUACAACAUUACAUAUUAUGUUCGAUAUAUAUUUAUCAUAAAAAGAUAUUUAAAUCGUUUGAAAUGGUCCUCAUUCGUAUAAUAAAAUCAAACAUCAUAUACUUAAUAAGUUUGCUUUGACUUAGGGUGCAGUUAGCCUUGCAAACAUUUUGGUUAUUAUAUACAGUACAAGAACUAGACUGGUGAUAUACAUUAUUUACAUACCCGGCUGGCUUUCAGAUGCUGCGACCACUGAGACGACGAGAAGAAAUGCAAAGAGACCCAACAGAAACAAAGUCUUGGAAGCCAUUGUAUUCAAAUGCUUAUGUUAUAACACUCUUUUUUAUGAAAACAAGUGAUGAAUAAAAUGUUACACUGAAUGCCCCUAUUUAUAGCAGACGAGGGUGAGAGAGUGAGCAAUGAGCAUCCGUAGUUCAUUAACAACAAGGGAAUAUUUUAUCAGAAGAGAAGCUGAAGAAAUUUAUCACAGUAAGGAAAGUUAUAGUUGGUUGUUGGAUACAUCGUAAAUCAACUUGAUUUUGAACUCCAUAAAUGGCAACCCAUACUAGUCUUUAGAUAUUUCCGUCAACGUCUUAAACACAGCGCAUUCACUCAAAAUGAAAAUGUAUAAAAUUCCAUCAUUUGAUUACAUUAUUGCUAAGAUGUGACAUAGAUAUUCGCGCAGUUUUGCUACUAAAAUUUUCUCUAUUUUAUAUAAUCAACGAUGAAAGAAUAGCUAAACAUUUCAUGGAAAUAGUAAAUUACUGUAACCGUAAUAUAUUUAGGGGUAGGCACUACCAUCAGUGGCGGAUCUACGAUGAAUUUCUAUCCGGAGCCAAACGACAAAACACUAAAAAUACAUUUAUAAAUUCAAAUUUUUAUCCAGAACAUUAUUAAAAUUCUAAACAAAAUUACACCCAAAAAAAUUGGGGGAGGGCGGGGGCAAGUACCCCACCCACUCUUUACCUAGUUCCGGACACAAUUAUUCAUUACUUAAUGGUAUUUAUUUGACCAAAUUGAAUAUCAAAUAAUCUAUUAAAAUUAAAAUUCAACAGUCAACAGUCAAGAUUAGAUAUACAUCAAUAUAUUAAAAUAGAAAACCAAAUUGUCAUUAUUAUCUAUGAUGUAUUAUUCUGUAGUAGUUUAGGAAAUUAGUCUACAUCAUUCACUAUAUAAAUCUAUGCAUCUAUUUUUUUUUCAUUCAUGGGAUUCAACAAUAUUUCUUCCAAUCACUACAAUGGUUUACCUCAAAGAGAAAUCAUAGAUUAUAUAUUAUACAUCCAUACAUGAGUUUCCACAAUAACAUAAAAGUUUUCUCGAUGAUGAACUUGUAGUCUUAUAGUAUAUACUAGUUCACAAGAGCAGAUUAUUCAUUUUUAUGUGACUUAAAGCGAGAUUCAAAUCCACAAUCAACUACAACAAACUAUCUGGAAACCUGGUUCCAAUCAUUCUCAUAGUGACUCUACAACAACAACAACAUCAACAUUAGUUUUGGUUUCUUCUUGAAAUCAUUUUUUGAAUAAUCAGGUAUGUUGUUAUCAUAAUUCUUCAAAAUUGUUUUGAACUACAUUUGUAGUCAACAAAUAUAGAUCUAAGUUUACAAUUAAAUUGUUUUAGACGUUUUUUUGUAAUCAAGAUACAUACUCAAUUAAGAUUGUGAAAACUACAUUGGUAACUCUGCGUCUAUAUGAACGAUCCAUAUGAACGACGAAGGAUGAUUGUUUCCGAGCACUGCGUGCAAGACUAUAUGCAAUUGUUAUGCGUUCGGGGUACAUGUAUGAACUUUGAUUGAUUGAAGCUCUCCUUCAGGAGUUGAAUAUCUUUUGCAAAAGUAGGUCAUUCUGCUCGCUCGGAAACCAUCUUAACCAAUUAAGAGCAAUUUGUCGCAAACGUCACAUAAAACUAUCGUAAAUUCCUUUUACUUUCCAUUGCCAGAUGAAGGCCUCUGUUUCGGCAUGAAUGAGUGAUAAGCUGACUCUCUCGUGUUAUUUGCCCCCAUUAGCCCAUCAAAACCUUCCUUGUGCCAUCCUUGUCCCGAGGAAUUAUCCUGAGCUUUCCACGAUCUAUCUGUAAAAUAUCAUCGUCCCGGUAUUUGUGGUAAUGUUGACAACUCUACAUCCUUAGCUUGGGCGGUCUGUUGCGUAAGUGAUAUAUGUGCCUCAUGCCAUAGUAUAGCUUUCGUUUCUGCCAAUUGAAUAGUGUCUUUAGGAUUAAUAUAUAUGUUACUAAGAAUCUUGUUGUUCCGACCUUUCCAAAUUUAUCAUAGGAUCCAUACAAACUGAUGAUUAUCCAUGUGUAUUUUCUACCUUUCAAAAUAAAUGAUUCAUGUUUGCAAAAAUUGAUUGAGUAGAGAAAAUGAAUGGAUUUGAUAGUAGUCGUGAGAGAUCUUAUGAUUAUCACUCUUUUUACUAUGGACACAAUCUUACCUCGAGUUGGAAUUUUUUAAGUAAUAUAUAAAAAAUAGGUAAUUUACUUAUAAUUAAUUAAUUUUACGUUGAAAGUUCAUCUGAUUUAAUAUGUUACCUGACUUUUAAGAGUAAUGAAUGUUUGUGUUUCAAAAAAAAAAAUCAGAAGCUAUAUAAACUAAAAAAAAACUCGUUGUUCCAUGUCUAUAUUGUAGACCCAUGUUUUUGAUCAAAAAUGAAUGAUUUAUAGUUUAACUGGAUUCUUUGGAAAUUAGUAUUUAUUGUGGUAAAGAAAAAGAUUAGUUUUAGAGUUUAUACUUUAUGGUAUUGUACAAGGUUAAAAACAUAAGUUUGUAAAAAGAAAAUGAAACUGAUUUGGUCUCAUGCUAAAUUGGUCGGUCUUACAGCAAAAGACAAACAACCACUCUAUUUCGAGCUGCGGAUCUCAUCGGAGUUCCCAGCAAUCUCAUCAUCGGUUUGAGAGAAAAACACUGUUCAGUUUUUCUCCGCGAGGGAAGAAGGAUAAUGGCAGUGGUGGAUGUUCACCGGUUCGCAGAGUCAAUAACUUGCCAUGCUUGGAGUCCUGAUCACUCCAGUAAACGUUUUCUACCUCUUCCUCUCUUUGUUUCUUUUACCGAUUGGUCUUUGAGAAGAUGAGGGAAAAGAGUAAUGGGUCUUUAAUAGAUGAACCCCAGUGUCUUCUUGUAUAUUGGUUUAACAUUCUGUGACCAUUUUUUUUUUUUUUUUUGCUUGUAGUGUUUGCAUUUUGCCCAAACAAUAAUGAAGUUCAUAUCUAUAAAUCAUCACAAGACCAUUGGGAGAUGUUACAUGUCCUUGAAAAGGUGAAACCUUUCUGUCUCUUCUCUCAUAGGCAAUUCUUUGUAGUUAUAUUUAUCUUUUAUUUUACUGAUCAUUUGUCACUGGAAAGUUUUUUUUUACUGUGAUCUCCCUUUCAAACAACUUCAUAAUCUUUUUUUUGUUUGCAGCAUGACCAGAUCGUUUCUGGAAUAGAUUGGAGCUCAAAGUCCAACAAAAUCGUCACUGUUUCCCAUGACAGGAACUCGUAAGUUGCAACCUUAAGGAAGUUG